CGACGGCCGCCUUCUCCCCCUCCCACGCGCCGCCCGCGCUUAAGCCCGGCGCGAAGCCGCCGCCGCCAGGGUUCCCCCCCGCCGCCGCCGCCGCCGCCGCGUCCAUCCCCAGCGCGUGGUCCUGGUGGUGGUGGUACUGGUACGCCAUGGCCGAACAGGCCUGCGCGCGCGGGCUAUAGCUCCCGCUUCGUAUGUAUCCGCUGCUGCCUUGGGAGGAGGUGGUACCACCGGCACCGGGUCAAGUGGAGGAGGAGGGAUGGGUGUGGGUGCGGGUGCAGGUAGCAGUAGCAGUAGCAGGCGGGCGGGGCGGAGCGGUGCAGCGGCAGAGGGGACCGCGGGGUGGAGGAGGAGGAACCACAGCCAUAUGUAUCCGCGUUUCCACGUGAUAUUCGUACGACAGUCGCGACAGGGAACUGCACACUGCUGCUGCUCCUACAACCAACCUUUUUACGAGCGCAACCUUUUUUUCUUUUCUUUUUUGCCUUCCUUCUCUCUCUGUCAUUACAUGUAAAUUUCGAUUUUUUUACCAGAUUGCGGUUUUAACCGGUCCGACAGAUUUUUAAUAAGAGCAUCUUCGAUAGACUGAACCGACACAUUAUUUUAAGACUGCUGAAAUCAACGCACAAGAGUUUUCUUUUGUAGAAUUCUUCUCUUUCCAACGACACCUUGUCAGUCAAAAGAUCGAGAUGGACCUAGAAAAAUGAAUAGGUAAAGUUAUAAAUUUAAUUAUUAUUUAGCAACUUAGAAAAUUAUGUGAAAUAUGAAUGUGAUCCUAACAAUUGCAAGAUGAUGCAAGCAACCACAAUAUGAUAUGAGUAAAGGCGAAAGACAAAAGACAAACAACCACAAGUAGAGAGUUAGAUUUAGGGAUAACCAAAACUCCACGGACAAAGAUGUAUCAUGAAUUCAUGAUGUUCACUUUCUUGGAGGGAAGCCGGUCACCCUUAGAGGGGUGGAUGCUACCAUGAAGACACACCAACGUCACGAAGUCUCACCCUAUUCUUCCCUUGACAUGUCACCAUGAGGCGAUUCUCAACCAUUAGUGAUAGGCCUUGAAGUGAUCUUCAAACCUUCACAAAAUUUUCACGGAUAAUCACACCGAAUGUUUCCUCUUCGAAGAACUCCUACAGCCUAAAAGAUUUCAACCUCUAAGAGUAAUAAGUUCAUGGGGAAAUGCUCAAGACUUGCUCGAAUCAUGAUUUUCUUUGGUCAAAAGAGCGAGAGCGAGUAAACCUGGUAGAGUUUCUCUCAAGAACUCCCACAAACGCGUAGACAGUGGCCGAGGGCCCCAACUCUAGAGCGCGUAAAUUAGCAUGCCAAUCGCGUGAGUGUGGUAUUGCCACGCAUUCUGGGCGUCCUAGGCAUGUAUGGUGGGUUAGGCACUCCACCGAUAGAUGUUAGGAAGAAAAUGACAACAGAAGAAUCUCACGAGGAGAUUGAACUAAGCUCAAACAUGAAUUAGCAGCCAGUUGUUUUAUUAGUGAUGGGGGAAAUGCACAUGGCCAAUGGGCCUAAGUUUUGGUUGAUGAUGAUCAUCUACUAAGGAGACUGUCUUGACAAAAUUGCAGCUCAAAUGGAGGAGCCUAGGUGGUACUUGCUUUGCAAAGUACCACGUUGGACAAAAACUCUCUCUGUCCCCCCCUCUCCCUCCCUUAAACAUCAGAGUAGCAACACAACUUGAGCAUCAAAGCACAAUAUCUUCAAUUGGUUUAUCAUAGAGCCUCUAGGGAAAAUUUCCAACAUCUCUCUCUCUCUCCCUCCCUUCCCUCCUCUCUCCUCCCUCCUCCUCCCUCCUCUGCCUCGUCCUCCUCUCUCUCUCCUCCCUCCUCCUCCCUCCUCUCUCUCUAUACUAUAUCUCUUNNNNNNNNNNNNNNNNNNNNNNNNNNNNNNNNNNNNNNNNNNNNNNNNNNNNNNNNNNNNNNNNNNNNNNNNNNNNNNNNNNNNNNNNNNNNNNNNNNNNUUUAGUUGAUAGUGYSUCUUCGUAAUAGAGUGCWWUUUGAACACAACAAAAAAGUAUGGAGUUCAAAUAAUUUACUAUAAAAAAAWUGAAAUCCCUUUGUAAGAGAUGAGUUCUCGUUCGAAACCCUGCUACUUCGAGAGAGAUUGUCAGUUUUGUACACGAACUGCAUCCAGUUUUUGUCGUAGCCCUCUCAACUUUUUAGCACAUGCUAUGUGGGUGAAAUAAUGAUAGCAUGCCAACUUUCAACAUUUUCAGAGUUCAUUUGUAGUGCUUUUCAAUUUCAGGGUCAACUAGCUCAAAAAACAUAAGUAAAUGCACGAAAUAUACCAAAUGAAGUCAGAAAUUGUUGAAAUUUUGUGAUGUGCCUUUGAAUGGUGCAUUUUGAACACACAAAAAGUAUGGAGUUCAAAUAAGUUCAAAAAAUUGAAAUCCCUUUGUAAGAGAUGAGUUCUCAUUCGAAACCGUGCUACUUCGAGAGAUAAUAGUUUGGAUAGUCAAAAUUAUUAAUUAUGAAAAUAAAAAAUAGUUUUGCAUUAUUUAUUCAAUUUGAAACAACUUUUCAUUAUCAUAGUUUUGUACAAAUUCUCAAAUAUGCAAAAGAAUUUUUAAUAAACAUAGUUUUUUAAUUGAAAAUAACAAAAUAGAUAAUAGUUUGGAUAGUCAAAAAUUAUUAAUUAUGAAAAUAGAAAAUAGUUUUGCAUUAUUUAUUCAAUUUGAAACACUUUUCAUUAUCAUAGUUUUCUCAAAUUCUCAAAUAUGCAAAAAAGAUUUAGAACAUAGUUUACUAGAANAACAAANAGGGAUAAGNNNNNNNNNNNNNNNNNNNNNNNNNNNNNNNNNNNNNNNNNNNNNNNNNNNNNNNNNNNNNNNNNNNNNNNNNNNNNNNNNNNNNNNNNNNNNNNNNNNNAGCCUUUNUAACUUCAUUUGCUAACGUUUUGAAAUGGGUUUUAGCCCCUUUCUAAACUUUAUGGUAAGUCAUGUAUUUCGACCACAUAUAUAGUCAAAAAAGUCUUCAGUUCAAAUAAGUUCUAAAAAAAUGAAAUCCCUUUUGUAACAGAUCUGUUUUUUGAUUAAAAACAAAUCACUUUUAAAAAAAUGAAAAGACCAUUAGUCCCCAACGUGGCGUGCAGCGGAACCACGUGGCGUGCCACGGAACCACUUUUGUUGUGGGGGGUCGCUUCUCCUUCUUCUCCUUGUGCUAGAUAUUGGUUAUGCACUAGGGGGAAGUAGGAGUAGCGACCAUCAUCGACGGUUGAAAAAUCAGGUGAGCUAGUGUCCACCAUCAUCGACGGUUUUUGUCGUAGCCCUGUCAACUUUUUAACACAUGCUAUGUGGGUGAAAUGAUAUAGCAUAGUCCAACCUUUACUUAACAACUUUUACUACGGUAGGUUACGAAUUUCCGGUUAACGGUAGGCCUUUUUACCAAAACGUUUUACGGAAGGGUUACGAAACUAGCUAAAAAAAAGUAAAUGCACGAAAUAUACCAAAUGAAGUCAGAAAUUGUUGAAAUUUUGUGAUGUGCCUUUGAAUGGUGCAUUUUGAACACACAAAAAGUAUGGAGUUCAAAUAAGUUCAAAAAAAUGAAAUACACUUUGUAAGAGAUGAGUUCUCGUUCGAAACCCUGCUACUUCGAGAGAGAUUGUCANNNNNNNNNNNNNNNNNNNNNNNNNNNNNNNNNNNNNNNNNNNNNNNNNNNNNNNNNNNNNNNNNNNNNNNNNNNNNNNNNNNNNNNNNNNNNNNNNNNNCCUAUGCUCUCUAUUACUUUCAAUACACGUUUAGCUGGGCAACUGUAGUCUUACUCGAAUCUCGUACCUUGUAAAACUGGACAAGUAACCCUUUCUUGGACUGUUCCUAUUUUGAACCUUCUUCUAAAACUUUAUCAAGGUAUGUGCUUUGUGAAAGUCCUAUCAGGCUUUUUGAUCUAUCCCUAUAGAUCUUAAUGCCUAGAAUGUAAGCAGCUUCUCCUAGGUCCUUCAUAGAGAAACUUUUAUUCAAGUGACCUUUUAUGCUCUCCMAAAAGCUCUACGUUGUUUCCAAUCAGUAAUAUGUCAUCCACAUAUAAUAUUAGAAAUGCCACAGAGCUCCCACUCACUUUCUUGUAAAUACAGGAUUCUCCAACCACUUGUAUAAACCCAAAUGCUUUGAUCACCUCAUCAAAGCGUUUGUUCCAACUCCGAGAUGCUUGCACCAGUCCAUAAAUGGAUCGCUGGAGCUUGCACACCUUGUCAGCAUUUUUAGGAUCGACAAAACCUUCGGGUUGCAUCAUAUACAACUCUUCCUUAAGGAAACCGUUAAGGAACGCCGUUUUUGACWKYYAYGACUUCGUCCGAACCCGGUACGAACUUACCAAGGGGUAAAUUCGGGAAAANNNNNNNNNNNNNNNNNNNNNNNNNNNNNNNNNNNNNNNNNNNNNNNNNNNNNNNNNNNNNNNNNNNNNNNNNNNNNNNNNNNNNNNNNNNNNNNNNNNNAUCGCACAGCACAAGCGUUAAGAAACGCGGUUGAUGUAGUGGAACGUCCUCACGUCCCUCGAUCCGCCCCGCGAACCAUCCCGCGANCCGUCCACGAUCUAGUCCCGAACGGACGGCACUCCGCGUUCAGCACACGUACAGCUCGACGAUGAUCUCGGCCUUCUUGAUCCAGCAAGAGAGACAGAGAGGUAGAAGAGUUCUCCGGCAGCGUGACGGCGCUCCGAAGGUUGGUGAUGANCUUGUCUCAGCAGGGCUCCGCCCGAGCUCCGCAGAAACGCGAUCUAGAGGAAAAACCGUGGAGGUAUGUGGUCGGGCUACCGUGGAAAAAGUCGUCUCAAAUCAGCCAUAAAACCUCUGUAUAUAUAGGUGGGAGAGGGGGGGUCCUUGCCUUGGUGCUCAAGGAGCCCCAAGGGGGUCGGCCGAGCCAAGGGGGGAAGGUCUCCCCCCCCAAACCGAGUCCAACUUGGUUUGGUGGGWGGAGUCCUUCUUUCCUUUCCCACCUCCUCCUUUUUUCUUUUCUCUUUGAUUUCUUCCUAUGGCGCAUAGGGCCUUCUUGGGCUGUCCCACCAGCCCACUAAGGGCUGGUGUGCCACCCCCAAGGCCUAUGGGCUUCCCCGGGGUGGGUUGCCCCCCCGCCCCGGUANACCGUACCCCCGGAAACCCUAUUCCGUACUACCGUUUCCCCGGUAACUACCGUUUACCCCGGUAACCUAACCCGUNNNNNNNNNNNNNNNNNNNNNNNNNNNNNNNNNNNNNNNNNNNNNNNNNNNNNNNNNNNNNNNNNNNNNNNNNNNNNNNNNNNNNNNNNNNNNNNNNNNNCCAGUUAUCAAGCAACAACACCUUGUUCAUAAUCAGAAGACACUGACUAUCUUUGAUCAACUGGCUAGCCAACUAGAGGCUUGCUAGGGACGGUGUUUUGUCUAUGUAUCCACACAUGUAAAUGAGUCUUCAUUCAAUACAAUUAUAGCAUGGAUAAUAAACGAUUAUCUUGAUACAGGAAUUAUAAUAAUAACUAUAUUUAUUAUUGCCUCUAGGGCAUAAUUCCAACAGUCUCCCACUUGCACUAGAGUCAAUAAUCUAGCCCUCACAUCACCAUGUGAAUUACAUUGUAAUAAAUCUAACACCCAUACAGUUCUGGUGUUGAUCAUGCUUUGGCCGUGGAAGAGGUUUAGUCAGCGGGUCCGCUACAUUCAGAUCCGUGUGCACUUUGCAUAUAUUCACGUCCUCUCCCUCGAACGUAGUUCGCGGAUGAGGUUGAAGCGUCGUUUGAUGGUGUACUGGUACUUCUUGUGAAACCGUGGUUCCUUUGCUAAGGCAAUGGCACAAGUGUUAGUCACAGAACAAGGUUAUUGGAUUCAAGUUGCGCUUUAGGCCAACCUACGUUCCCAAAGGAUCCCGUCAAUAGAACCUGCUUCAAUUCCAGACACCCUCCUUAGCCGCCUCCGAAGGCAGCCAAUGUACUCCGCUUCACAUGUAGAAUCUAGCUACGACGCUUGCUUGGAACCGCACCAGCUUACUGCACCCCCAUUAAAGAAUAAAUACGGUAAUCCGGUUUANCGACUUAGAGUCGUCCGGANNNNNNNNNNNNNNNNNNNNNNNNNNNNNNNNNNNNNNNNNNNNNNNNNNNNNNNNNNNNNNNNNNNNNNNNNNNNNNNNNNNNNNNNNNNNNNNNNNNNUCGAGAAGGAGUUCUCUGAGAGAAUUGAGUGGGAGGAAGAUAGAACUGACGAGGUUGUCGAACCUCUCAUCCCUCUGGGAUGGUGGCGCAGGGCAAGGGGAAACCUCUGUCGUUGCGACGCCGGUUGAGGAGGAAGUUAAUGAUGAUGAUCAUGAAACUCCAGUUCAAGUUUCUGUUGAACCACGCAGGUCGACGAGAUCACGCGCUGCUCCAGAGUGGUACGGUAAUCCCGUCUUAUCAAUCAUGUUGUUAGACAACAAUGAACCUGCAAAUUAUGAAGAUGCAAUGGUGGGCCCAGAUUCCAACAAAUGGCUAGAAGCCAUGAAAUCCGAGAUAGGAUCCAUGUAUGAGAACAAAGUGUGGACUUUGGAGAUACUACCUGAGGGCCGCAAGGCUAUUCAGAACAAAUGGAUCUUUAAGAAGAAGACGGACGCUGACGGUAAUGUGACCGUUUAUAAAGCUCGACUUGUGGCAAAGGGUUUUUCACAAGUUCCAGGAGUUGACUACGAUGAGACUUUCUCACCCGUAGCGAUGCUUAAGUCCGUCAGAAUCAUGUUAGCAAUAGCUGCAUUUUUUCGAUUAUGAAAUCUGGCAGAUGGAUGUCAAAACGGCGUUCCUUAACGGUUUCCUUAAGGAAGAGUUGUAUAUGAUGCAACCCGAAGGUUUUGUCGAUCCUAAAAAUGCUGACAAGGUGUGCAAGCUCCAGCGAUCCAUUUAUGGACUGGUGCAAGCAUCUCGGAGUUGGAACAAACGCUUUGAUGAGGUGAUCAAAGCUAUUUGGGUUAUACAAGUGGUUGGAGAAUCCUGUAUUUACAAGAAAGUGAGUGGGANNNNNNNNNNNNNNNNNNNNNNNNNNNNNNNNNNNNNNNNNNNNNNNNNNNNNNNNNNNNNNNNNNNNNNNNNNNNNNNNNNNNNNNNNNNNNNNNNNNNAACAUAAUUCUAACAGACUUUUUAGCAUCGCUACGAGUGAGAAAGUAUCAUCAUAGUCAACUGUUUGAUCUUGUCGGAAAACAUCUUUGCGACAAGUCAAGCUUUUCUUAAUAGUGACUUAUCACCAUCAUCGUCUGUCUUCCUUUUAGAGAUCCGUCUUUACUAAAUAGUCCUAUGACCAUCAAGUAGUUCUUCCAAAGUCUACACUUUGUUUUCAUACAUGGAUCCUCUCUCGGAUUUCAUGGCUUCCAGCCAUUUGUCGGAAUCCGGGCCCAUCAUUGCUUUCUCCAUAACUCGUAGGUUCACUGUUGCUCAACAACAUGACCUCCAAGACAGGGUUACCGUACCACUCUGCAGUAGUACGCGACCUUGUCAACCUUACGAGGCUUGUAGUAACUUGAUCCGAUGUCUCGAUGUAUCACCAUCAUUCAGCUUUCACUUCAAUUUGGGUACKUAGGCGCCACAGGAACAACUUCCUACGCCCUGCUACACACUCGGUUGAAGUGAUGGUUCAUAACUCAUCAAGUUCUACCNCCUCCNCUCAAUUCUUUCGAGUGNNNNNNNNNNNNNNNNNNNNNNNNNNNNNNNNNNNNNNNNNNNNNNNNNNNNNNNNNNNNNNNNNNNNNNNNNNNNNNNNNNNNNNNNNNNNNNNNNNNNGUACUCAGACAAUCUGAGCACACGCUCAACGAUUGAGCUUUUCUCCUUUACUUUAUGGACAAGAAUCUUGUCGGAGGUCUCGUACCUCUUAACAAGGGCACGANCGGGGAUGAAAUACAAAUUUCAUCUCUUUAGAACAUCACUUAUUGUUUCGUGACGUUUCAAACGUUUUCGGCGCCUUGCUUCUAAGCCAUUAAGUAUUUUUGUACUGAACUAUCGUGUAGUCAUCAGAAACGUGUAUGUCGGAUGUUCACAGCAUCCACAGACGACGCUCGAGGUGCAGCACACCGAGUGGUGCAUUAAGGACAUAAGCCUUCUGCGCAGCAACGAGGACAAUCCUCGGUUUUACAGACUCAGUAUGCAAAGUUUGCUACUAUCAAUUUUCAACUAAAUUUUUCUCUAGGAACAUAUAAAACAGUAGAGCUAUAGCGCAAGCUACAUCGUAAUUCGCAAAGACCAUUAGACUAUGUUCAUGACAAUUAGUUCAUCUAAUCAAAUUACUUAAGAACUCCCACUCAAAAAGUACAUCUCUCUAGUCAUUUGAGUGGUACAUGAUCCAAAUCCAUUAUCUCAAGUCCGAUCAUCACGUGAGUCGAGAAUAGUUUCAGUGGUAAGCAUCUCUAUGCUAAUCAUAUCAACUAUACGAUUCAUGCUCGACCUUUCGGUCUCAUGUGUUCCGAGGCCAUGUCUGCACAUGCUAGGCUCGUCAAGCUUAACCCGAGUGUUCCGCAUGUGCAACUGUUUUGCACCCGUUGUAUGUGAACGUCUGAGUCUAUCACCACCGUAUCAUCCACGGUGGUGUCUACGAACGACGAACUGUAGACGUAACGGGUGACCACGUACGGGUACGGGGGAAGAAACCAACUAAGUUUCGUUCUUAAGUUAAAUUUUUAGGUNNNNNNNNNNNNNNNNNNNNNNNNNNNNNNNNNNNNNNNNNNNNNNNNNNNNNNNNNNNNNNNNNNNNNNNNNNNNNNNNNNNNNNNNNNNNNNNNNNNNAUUUCUAUGAGUAACAUCUUUUAUGGUCAUGCACGAAUGUGAGAGGAUUGUUCAUAUUGAAUCGUGAUAGCGAUACACAUAUACAUAACAUUGAGACCAAAAGAGUUAGAGUUAACAAUGAUAGCGCCAUAUUUUUUGUGGCACUGCCGCUUAGGUCAUAUUGGUGUAAAGCGCAUGAAGAAACUCCAUGCUGAUGGACUUUUGGAGUCACUUGACUUUGAAUCACUUGACACGUGCGAACCAUGCCUCAUGGGCAAGAUGACUAAGACUCCGUUCUCAGGAACAAUGGAGCGUGCAAGUGACUUGUUGGAAAUCAUACAUACCGAUGUGUGUGGUCCGAUGAGCGUGGAGGCACGCGGCGGAUAUCGUUAUUUUCUCACUUUCACUGACGAUUUAAGUAGAUAUGGUUAUGUCUACUUGAUGAAGCACAAGUCUGAACAUUUGAAAAGUUCAAGCAAUUUCAGAGUGAAGUGGAAAAUCAUCAUAACAAGAAGAUCAAGUUCCUACGGUCUGAUCGUSKSRGUGAAUAUCUGAGUUUCGAGAUUGGUGCUCACUUAAGACAAUGUGGAAUUGUUUCACAGUUAACACCGCCUGGAACACCACAGCGUAAUGGUGUGUCCGAACGUCGUAAUCGUACUCUAUUAGAGAUGGUGCGAUCUAUGAUGUCUCUUACUGAUUUUGCCGUUAUCAUUUUUGGGGCUAAUGCAUUAGAAACAGCUGCAUUCACUUUAAAUAGGGGCACCAUCAAAAAUCCGUUGAGACGACACCAUACGAACUGUGGUAUGGCAAAAGGCCAAAGUUGUCGUUUCUUAAAGUUUGGGUAUGUGAUGCUUAUGUCAAAAAAGCUUCAGCCUGAAAAGCUGGAACCCAAAGCGGAAAAGUGCGUCCUUCAUAGGUUACCCAAAAGAGACAGUUGGGUACACCUUACUAUCUCAAAUCCGAGGGCAAAGUGUUUGUUGCUAAAACCAGAGCUUUUCUCGAGAAGGAGUUUCUCUCGAGNNNNNNNNNNNNNNNNNNNNNNNNNNNNNNNNNNNNNNNNNNNNNNNNNNNNNNNNNNNNNNNNNNNNNNNNNNNNNNNNNNNNNNNNNNNNNNNNNNNNAUAAUUAGUUAUUAUUAUAUUUCUUUGUUCAUGAUAAUCGUUUAUUAUCCAUGCUAUAAUUGUAUUGAUUGGAAACACAAUACUUGUGUGGAUACAUGGACAAAACACUGUCCCUAGUAAGCCUCUAGUUGACUAGCUCGUUGAUCAAAGAUGGUCAAGGUUUCCUGGCCAUAGGCAAGUGUUGUUACUUUAUAACGGGAUCACAUCAUUAGGAGAAUCAUGUGAUGGACUAGACCCAAACUAAUAGACGUAGCAUGUUGAUCGUGUCAUUUUGUUGCUACUGUUUUCUGCGUGUCAAGUAUUUGUUCCUAUGACCAUGAGAUCAUAUAACUCACUGACACCGGAGGAAUGCUUUUUGUGUAUCAAACGUCGCAACGUAACUGGGUGACUAUAAAGAUGCUCUACGGGUAUCUCCGAAGGUGUUCGUUGAGUUAGUAUGGAUCGAGACUGGGAUUUGUCACUCCGUGUGACGGAGAGGUAUCUCGGGGCCCACUCGGUAAUACAACAUCACACACAGGCCUUGCAAGCAAUGUGACUUAGUGUAAGUCACGGGAUCUUGUAUUACGGACCGAGUAAAGAGACCUUGCCGGUAAACAAGAUUGAAAUAGGUAUGCGGAUACUGAUGAUCGAAUCUCGGGCAAGUAACAUACCGAAGGACAAAGGGAAUGACAUACGGGAUUAUAUGAAUCCUUGGCACUGAGGUUCAAACGAUAAGAUAUUCGUAGAAUAUGUGGGAUCCAAUAUGGGCAUCCAGGUCCCGCUAUUGAAUAUUGACCGAGGAGUCACUCGGGUCAUGUCUACAUAGUUCUCGAACCCGCAGGGUCUGCACACUUAAGGUUCGACGUUGUUUUAUGCGUAUUUGAGUUAUAUGGUUGGUUACCGAAUGUUGUUCGGAGUCCCGGAUGAGAUCACGGACGUCACGAGGGUUUCCGGAAUGGUCCAGAAAGGAGAUUGAUAUAUAGGAUGACCUCAUUUGAUUACCAUAAGGUUUUCGGAGUUACCGGGAAUGUACCGGGAAUGACGAAUGGGUUCGGUGUUCACGGGGGGGGGGGGGGGCAACCCACCCCGGGGGAAGCCCAUAGGCCUUGGGGNGGGCAUCAGCCCUUAGUGGGCUCGGUGGCAGCCAAGAAGGCCCUAUGCGCCAAUGGGAUAAGAAAUCAAAGAGAAAGGAAAAAAAGGUAGGAGGUGGGAAACGGAGAGAAGGUCCUACCACCUUUCCGAAAACCCGUAGUUGGGUAUUCCGGGUUUUGGAAAGGGGAGGGAACUUUCUCCCCCGUUGGGCUUCGGGCCGCCCCCCUUGGGGCUCCUUAGNGCCUCAAGGCAAGGCCCCCCCCCUNUUCCCGACCCUUANNNNNNNNNNNNNNNNNNNNNNNNNNNNNNNNNNNNNNNNNNNNNNNNNNNNNNNNNNNNNNNNNNNNNNNNNNNNNNNNNNNNNNNNNNNNNNNNNNNNAGAAAAGAAAAGAGNGGAGGAAAGAAGAGCUCCCNCCAACCAAACUAGGUACGCGUUUCGGGUUGGGGGGAGACCUUCCCCCCUUGGCUCGGCCGACCCCCUUGGGGCUCCUUGAGCACCAAGGCAAGGCCCCCCCUCUCCCACCUAUAUAUACAGAGGUUUUAUGGCUGAUUUGAGACGACUUUUCCACGGUAGCCCGACCACAUACCUCCACGGUUUUUCCUCUAGAUCGCGUUUCUGCGGAGCUCGGGCGGAGCCCUGCUGAGACAAGAUCAUCACCAACCUUCGGAGCGCCGUCACGCUGCCGGAGAACUCUUCUACCUCUCUGUCUCUCUUGCUGGAUCAAGAAGGCCGAGAUCAUCGUCGAGCUGUACGUGUGCUGAACGCGGAGGUGCCCGUCCGUUCGGGACUAGAUCGGUGGGACGGAUCGCGGGAUGGUUCGCGGGGCGGAUCGAGGGACGUGAGGACGUUCCACUACAUCAACCGCGUUUCUUAACGCUUGUGNNNNNNNNNNNNNNNNNNNNNNNNNNNNNNNNNNNNNNNNNNNNNNNNNNNNNNNNNNNNNNNNNNNNNNNNNNNNNNNNNNNNNNNNNNNNNNNNNNNNUGUUAGAGAAGGUGCGAUCUAUGAUGUCUUCUUACUCGAUUUGCCGUUUUAUCAUUUUUGGGGGUUUAUGGCCAUUAGAAACAGCCUGCAUUGACUUUAAAUAGGGCACCAUCAAAAUCCGUUUGAGACGACACCAUACGAACUGUGGUAUGGCAAAAGGCCAAAGUUGUCGUUUCUUAAAGUUUGGGGAUGUGAUGCUUAUGUCAAAAAGCUUCAGCCUGAAAAGCUGGAACCCAAAGCGGAAAAGUGCGUCUUCAUAGGUUACCAAAAAGNGACAGUUGGGUUCACCUUCUAUCUCAAAUCCGAGGGCAAAAUGUUUGUUGCUAAAAACGGNGCUUUUUCNCGAGAAGGUAGUUUCUCUUCGAGAGAAUUGAGUGGGAGGAGAUAGAACUUGACGAGGUUGUCGAACCUCUCAUCCCUCUGGAUGGUUGGCGCCAGGGGCAAAGGGGGGGAAACCCUUCCGUGUCCGGUUUGCGACGCCGGUUGAGGUGGAAGGUUAAUGNUGAUGAUCAUGNNNNNNNNNNNNNNNNNNNNNNNNNNNNNNNNNNNNNNNNNNNNNNNNNNNNNNNNNNNNNNNNNNNNNNNNNNNNNNNNNNNNNNNNNNNNNNNNNNNNAGCUAGUCUCCGUUUAUGCCGUAGCUAUUAUUUCGUGUUACUAAUCACUUAGCAACUGAACCGGUAUUCAAUACCCUCGUGCUACUAGGAGUACUAGUAAAGUACACAUCAACAUCAUGUAUAUCAAAUAUACUUCUUUCGACUUUUGCCAUCCUUCUUAUCUACCAAGUAUCUAGAGUUGCUCCGCCUCAGUGACUGUUCCCCCUCAUUAUAGAAGCACUUAGUCUCGGGUUUGGGUUUAAUAUUGGGUCUCUUCAUUAGUGCAGCAACUGUUUUGCCGUUUCACGAAGUAUCCCUUCUAGCCCUUGCUUUUCUUGAAACUUAGUGGUUUYACWAACCAUCAACUAUUGAUGCUCCUUCUUGAUUUCUACUUUCGCAGUGUCAAACAUCGCGAAUCGCUCGAAGGAUCAUUGUAUCUAUCCUUGUAUAUGUUAUAGUUCAUCACGAAGCUCUCACAGCUUGGUGGCAGUGACUUUGGAGAACCAUCACUAUCUCAUCUGGAAGAUUAACUCCACUUGAUUCAAGUGAUUUGUCGUACUCAGACAAUCUGAGCACACGCUCAACGAUUGAGCUUUUUCUCCUUUACUUUAUGGACAAAGAAUCUUGUCGAGGUCUCGUACUCUUAACAAGGGCACGAGCAUGAAAUCAAAAUUUCAUCUCUUUAGAACAUCACUUAUUGUUUCGUGACGUUUCAAAAACGUUUUUUCGGCGCCUUUGCUUCUAAGCCAUUAAGUAUUUUUUGUACUGAACUAUCGUGUAGUCAUCAGAAACUUGUNNNNNNNNNNNNNNNNNNNNNNNNNNNNNNNNNNNNNNNNNNNNNNNNNNNNNNNNNNNNNNNNNNNNNNNNNNNNNNNNNNNNNNNNNNNNNNNNNNNNCUCGGGACGUCGUCGUGCUAAGGCCCCAUAGGACUAGCGCAUCAAAGCAGUAACCAUCACCGAUGAAGAAAGGUGUAGAUCAAAAAGAUCAAACGUGUAAACACCCGGACGAAGACAAAUAAAGACCGGAUCCAAACAGAUCCAUCAAAGACCAGCACCGAUCGAAUCCCACGAGAUCCAAGAAAAACACACCUCCACACGCCCUCCGAUUAUGCUAGAUGCACCAUUGAAGUGGGGAUAUACAGAACGUGUGAGACAUUAUUCCUACUAAGGGACAUCGUCACCGCCAACCCCAACCGAGACGUUGAACCUAACAAGAACGAGAACAAGACCCCUCCCAGUGACGGAGGCCGAGAUCCUCCGCACUUCCACGGCCUAGAGGCCAUCAAAGAUGGGGCGGACCGGCGCCGCCGUUGACGGGAGUAGAAUGAGCUUUUCUCCUGUAGGAGGAAAGAGUACUACUGCUUACAGGAGUAGAAGGGGUUUUUCUUGUGUUCCAUGAGUUUUUUUUGGCCUUCUAUAUCAUAUUUUGUUUGAUUUCGCCUUAGUUAGUCUUCCUUUUUCCGAACCAAAAGAAAAAAAAGGUUUAUUAUGAGGGUGUUUGUUUCCAGGGACUUAUUGGUUUAGGGACUUAAAAAAGUCCCUAUAAGUCCCACCUAAACCAAACACAAGGGACUUAUUGUGGUGAUUUAGGACUUAUCAAAUAAGACUCUCAGGGAGGACCUUAUUGGGACUUAUCCCGGACCGGACCUACCCCGCGUCGCUCCAGGCUCGUUCCCCGCACGCCGCCCCGCCUCUCGGUCCAAUCGCCGCCGCCGCCCCGCCUCUCGCCCCGUCGCCGCCCCGCCUCUCGCCCCGUCGCCGCCCCGCCUCGGUUCGUUCUGCCUCGGUUCGUUGCAGCGGUGCCUCCAAUCGCCGGACAGGCCCUCUCCUGAGCCUCGUUGCAGCGGUGCUUAUCAUGUGUGCCGUACGCGUUGACUGAUGACGAUCCAUGUGAACAAGUGUAUUAUUAGAUGCAACAUGGACUUAUAAGUCCCUGUAAACAAACAGGUAGGGACUCGGGACUUAUAAGUCUGUGUAAACAAACAGGUAGAGACUUAUUACUUAUAAGUUGGGACUUAAAAAAUUUAUAGGACUUAUGAAACAAACAGGCCUAUGUCUGGUCUUCUUCUUUCAUGCACGGAGACCAAAAGUUUGUUAAGAAAUAAGCAAGUCCCUAUCAAGCGAAAACACAACAAUUUGGGGUCAUCAAAAUAACAGCGACAUCAGGCACAUAGAAAAGGUUCAGCAUAGCAAUCAACGUCCCAGCUUGAUCUCCACAGCGACUGCUCACCAUCACCUCGCUUCCCUAACAAAAAAAAAAAUUACUCGUUUCCUUAGAGGAAAAAAGAAUACCAUCACAUCGCUGAGUUCAGAAUGAAAAGAGAAAAUGUGAGCGAUAAGUAUCAUGCAUUUUCUCCAUAGAAAAUACUGCAACGGAAUCCGGCUAAACCGCAACCACUGGAUUAGCCGCUAACCUCGGCGCUGCACGUGAGACCCUCACAUGUUAAGACCUCAGGUGCUCUUAAUUAAAGAACUGUCACUGCUACUAAAAAUCACUGGAUCCUCUGACAUUAGGACUUUGCAUGUUUACACAAAAGAAAAUUCAUUUAUGGGGCCAAGAAACGACAGAUCUCGCGUUGCAGGGAAAUUGAAGGGCCUUGACCUUAGGUGGUGGCACUGCAUUCACUAGGCACCACCCAUUAAACAAGCACAGCUGGGCUUUGCAGGAUCUUAGGGUGUGUUUGGUUGGAGAACCAACUGUCAUGGAAUGGAAUGGUUCCAUUCCAUAGGAACGGGUCGGUUCCAUUCCUGUGUUUGGUACGAGCAAAAAAGUGGAACGGGAUGGUUCCGUUCCUGUGUUUGGUUCUACCUGCAGAUCAAUACACAUGGCAGGAAUCAGCAGAGAAAGAGGGAGAGGGGCCCUUCGGCGCGGCAGGGAGAGGGAGGGGCCGGCGGCGCGGCAGGGAGAGAGAGGGGCCGACGGCGCGGCAGGGAGAAAGGGGCCGGCGGCGCGGCAGGGAGAGGGAGGGGCCGGCGGCGCGGCAGGGAGGGGGGGNNNNNNNNNNNNNNNNNNNNNNNNNNNNNNNNNNNNNNNNNNNNNNNNNNNNNNNNNNNNNNNNNNNNNNNNNNNNNNNNNNNNNNNNNNNNNNNNNNNNAAUUUCAACAAUUUCUGACUUCAUUUGGUAUAUUUCGUGCAUUUACUUAUGUUUUUUGAGCUAGUUGACCCUGAAAUUGAAAAGCACUACAAAUGAACUCUGAAAAUGUUGAAAGUUGGCAUGCUAUCAUUAUUUCACCCACAUAGCAUGUGCUAAAAAGUUGAGAGGGCUACGACAAAAACUGGAUGCAGUUCGUGUACAAAACUGACAAUCUCUCUCGAAGUAGCAGGGUUUCGAACGAGAACUCAUCUCUUACAAAGGGAUUUCAUUUUUAUGAAAUUAUUUGAACUCCAUACUUUUUGUGUGUUCAAAAUGCAUCAUUCAAAGGCACAUCACAAAAUUUCAGCAUUUUCUGACUUCAUUUGGUAUAUUUCGUGCAUUUACUUUUUUUUUGAGCUAGUUGACCCUGAAAUUGAAAAGCACUACAAAUGAACUCUAAAAAUGUUGAAAGUUGGCAUGGUAUCAUCAUUUCACCCACAUAGCAUGUGUUAAAAAGUUGAGAGGGCUACGACCAAAACUAGAUGUAGUUCGUGUACAAAACUGACAAUCUCUCUCGAAGUAGCACGGUUUCGAACAAGAACUCAUCUCUUACAAAGGGAUUUCAUUUUUUUGAACUUAUGUGAACUCCAUACUUUUUGUGUGUUCAAAAUGCACCAUUCAAAGGCACAUCACAAAAUUUCAAAAAUUUCUGACUUCAUUUGGUAUAUUUCGUGCAUUUACUUAUUUUUUUGAGCUAGUUGACCCUGAAAUUGAAAAGCAGUACAAAUGAACUCUGAAAAUGUUGAAAGUUGGCAUGCUGUCAUCAUUUCACCCACAUAGCAUGUGUUAAAAAGUUGAGAGGGCUANNNNNNNNNNCUAUUUUCAUAAUUAAUAAUUUUGACUAUCCAAACUAUUAUCUAUUUUGUUAUUUUCAAUUAAAAACUAUAUUUAUUAAAAAUUCUUUUUGCAUAUUUGAGAAUUUGACAAAACUAUGAUAAUGAAAAGUGUUUCAAAUUGAAUAAAUAAUGCAAAACUAUUUUUUAUUUUCAUAAUUAAUAAUUUUGACUAUCCAAACUAUUAUCUCUCGAAGUAGCACGGUUUCGAAUGAGAACUCAUCUCUUACAAAGGGAUUUCAAUUUUUUGAACUUAUUUGAACUCCAUACUUUUUGUGUGUUCAAAAUGCACCAUUCAAAGGCACANNNNNNNNNNNNNNNNNNNNNNNNNNNNNNNNNNNNNNNNNNNNNNNNNNNNNNNNNNNNNNNNNNNNNNNNNNNNNNNNNNNNNNNNNNNNNNNNNNNNCUGGAACGUCGGCAUCGGGCUGUCACACGGGUGGGGCCACGACCCGGGACUAAAGGCCUCUUUUCGGGCAGACCAAGAGGCGGGAAGCAGGGGGUCUUUAGUCCCGGUGCAUGGCUCUAGCUGGGACUAGAGGGUGUCUUUAGUCCCGGGGCGUGGCUCCACCCGGAACUAAAGCCCCUCCUCGGCUGCACGAUAAGUUUAGUCCCACCUCCCCAGCGAGGGGGACUAACACUUGUUUAUAAGCCCCGUCGCAGUUUGUCCAUCGAGCUCCUCUCUAAAGCAGGCUUACGGGCCUAAACAUACUGAAAAUUGAAACUAUAUUCGAAAUUGUGGAUAAAAUUCAAUCUGAAUUCAAAGUGAAUUCAGGUUGAAUUUUGUCCAUGAUUUCUCAUAUAGUUUCAAUUUUUUUCUAUUUUCAAAAUUAAUUAUUAUCUAUUUUGUUAUUUUCAAUUAAAAACUAUGUUUAUUAAAAAUUCUUUUUGCAUAUUUGAGAAUUUGACAAAACUAUGAUAAUGAAAAGUGUCUCAAAUUGAAUACAUAAUGCAAAACUAUUUUCUAUUUUCAUAAUUAACAAACUAUUAUCUAUUUUGUUAUUUUCAAUUAAAAACUAUGUUUACUAAAAAUUCUUUUUGCAUAUUUGAGAAUUUGAGAAAACUAUGAUAAUGAAAAGUGUUUCAAAUUGAAUAAAUAAUGCAAAANNNNNNNNNNNNNNNNNNNNNNNNNNNNNNNNNNNNNNNNNNNNNNNNNNNNNNNNNNNNNNNNNNNNNNNNNNNNNNNNNNNNNNNNNNNNNNNNNNNNAUCGCGGGAUGGUUCGCGGGGCGGAUCGAGGGACGUGAGGACGUUCCACUACAUCAACCGCGUUUCUUAACGCUUCUGCUUUGCGAUCUACAAGGGUACGUAGAUCGGAAAUCCCCUCUCGUAGAUGGACAUCACCAUGAUAGGUCUUUGUGCGCGUAGGAAAAUUUUUGUUUCCCAUGCGACGUUCCCCAACAGUGGCAUCAUGAGCUAGGNNNNNNNNNNAAAAAGUUUUUGUGAGCGGUGAUGUGCGUUUUGCUGCCCUCCUUAGUCUUUUCUUGAUUCCGCGAUAUUGUUGGAUUGAAGCGGCUUGGACCGACAUUACUCGUACGCUUACGAGAGACUGGUUUCAUCGCUACGAGUAACCCCGUUGCUCAAAGAUGACCGGCGAGUGUCGGUUUCUCCAACUUUAGUUGAAUCGGAUUUGACUGAGGAGGUCCUUGGAUGAGGUUAAAUAGCAAUUCAUACAUCUCUGUUGUGGUGUUUGCGUAAGUAAGUAAGAUGCGAUCCUACUAGAUACCCAUGGUCACCACGUAAAACNNNNNNNNNNNNNNNNNNNNNNNNNNNNNNNNNNNNNNNNNNNNNNNNNNNNNNNNNNNNNNNNNNNNNNNNNNNNNNNNNNNNNNNNNNNNNNNNNNNNACUUCUUGAUCCAGCAAGAGAGAUGGAGAGGUAGAUGAGUUCUCCGGCAGCGUGACGGCGCUUCGGAGGUUGGUGGUGAUCUAAUCUCAGCAGGGCUCCGCCCGAGCUCCGCAGAAAUGCGAUCUAGAGGAAAAACCGUGGAGGUAUGUGGUCGGGCUGUCGUGGCAAAGUCGUCUCAAAUCAGCCCUAAAACCUCUCGUAUAUAUAGGUGGGAGAGGCGGGGCCUUGCCUUGAGGCUCAAGGAGCCCCAAGGGGGUCGGCCGAGCCAAGGGGAGAAGUCCUCCCCUUCCAAACCGAAUCCAACUAGGUUUGGAAGGUGGAGUCCUUCUCUCCUUUCCCACCUCCUCCUUUUUUUCCUUUCUCUUUGAUUUCUUAUUCCUUGGCGCAUAGGGCCUUCUUGGGCUGUCCCACCAGCCCACUAAGGGCUGNNNNNNNNNNUCCCCAAACCGAGUCCAACUUGGUUUGGUGGGUGGAGUCCUUCUUUCCUUUCCCACCUCCUCCUUUUUUUCUUUUCUCUUUGAUUUUCUUCCUAUGGCGCAUAGGGCCUUCUUGGGCUGNNNNNNNNNNCCCAAACCGAGUCCAACUUGGUUUGGUGGGAGGAGUCCUUCUUUCCUUUCCCACCUCCUCUUUUUUUUCUCUUUGAUUUUCUUCCUAUGGCGCAUAGGGCCUUCUUGGGCUGUCCCACCAGCCCACUAAGGGCUGGUGUGCCACCCCCAAGGCCUAUGGGCUUCCCCGGGGUGGGUUGCCCCCCCCCCGGUGAACUCCCGGAACCCAUUCGUCAUUCCCGGUACAUUCCCGGUAACUCCGAAAACCUUAUGGUAAUCAAAUGAGGUCAUCCUAUAUAUCAAUCUUCCUUUCUGGACCAUUCCGGAAACCCUCGUGACGUCCGUGAUCUCAUCCGGGACUCCGAACAACAUUCGGUAACCAACCAUAUAACUCAAAUACGCAUAAAACAACGUCGAACCUUAAGUGUGCAGACCCUGCGGGUUCGAGAACUAUGUAGACAUGACCCGAGAGACUCCUUGGUCAAUAUCCAAUAGCGGGACCUGGAUGCCCAUAUUGUAUCCUACAUAUUCUACGAAGAUCUUAUCGUUUGAACCUCAGUGCCAAGNNNNNNNNNNUACCAUUCUGGAAACCCUCGUGACGUCCCUGAUCUCAUCCGGGACUCCGAACAACAUUUGGUAACCAACCAUAUAACUCAAAUACGCAUAAAACAACGUCGAACCUUAAGUGUGCAGACCCUGCGGGUUCGAGAACUAUGUAGACAUGACCCGAGAGACUCCUCAGUCAAUAUCCAAUAGCGGGACCUGGAUGCCCCAUAUUGUAUCCUACAUAUUGUACGAAGAUCUUAUUGUUUGAACCUCAGUGCCAAGGAUUCAUAUAAUCCCGUAUGUCAUUUCCNNNNNNNNNNGUCAGUAUCGCAUACCUAUUUCAAUCUCGUUUACCGGCAAGUCACUUUACUCGUUCCGUAAUACAAGAUCCCCUGACUUACACUAAGUCACAUUGCUUGCAAGGCUUGUGUGUGAUGUUGUAUUACCGAGUGGGCCCCGAGAUACCUCUCCGUCACACGGAGUGACAAAUCCGAGUCUCGAUCCAUACUAACUCAACGAACACCUUCGGAGAUACCUCUAGAGCAUCUUUAUAGUCACCCAGUUACGUUGCGACGUUUGAUACACANNNNNNNNNNUCAAUAGCGGGACCUGGAUGCCCAUAUUGGAUCCCACAUAUUCUACGAAUAUCUUAUCGUUUGAACCUCAGUGCCAAGGAUUCAUAUAAUCCCGUAUGUCAUUCCCUUUGUCCUUCGGUAUGUUACUUGCCCGAGAUUCGAUCAUCAGUAUCCGCAUACCUAUUUCAAUCUUGUUUACCGGCAAGUCUCUUUACUCGGUCCGUAAUACAAGAUCCCGUGACUUACACUAAGUCACAUUGCUUGCAAGGCCUGUGUGUGAUGUUGUAUUACCGAGUGGGCCCCGAGAUACCUCUCCGUCACACGGAGUGACAAAUCCCAGUCUCGAUCCAUACUAACUCAACGAACACCUUCGGAGAUACCCGUAGAGCAUCUUUAUAGUCACCCAGUUACGUUGCGACGUUUGAUACACANNNNNNNNNNNNNNNNNNNNNNNNNNNNNNNNNNNNNNNNNNNNNNNNNNNNNNNNNNNNNNNNNNNNNNNNNNNNNNNNNNNNNNNNNNNNNNNNNNNNNNNNNNNNNNNNNNNNNNNNNNNNNNNNNNNNNNNNNNNNNNNNNNNNNNNNNNNNNNNNNNNNNNNNNNNNNNNNNNNNNNNNNNNNNNNNNNNNNNNNNNNNNNAUGAUUCUCCUAAUGAUGUGAUCCCGUUAUAAAGUAACAACACUUGCCUAUGGCCAGGAAACCUUGACCAUCUUUGAUCAACGAGCUAGUCAACUAGAGGCUUACUAGGGACAGUGUUUUGUCUAUGUAUCCACACAAGUAUUGUGUUUCCAAUCAAUACUAUUAUAGCAUGGAUAAUUAACGAUUAUCAUGAACAAAGAAAUAUAAUAAAAACUAAUUUAUUAUUGCCUCUAGGCUCCAACAGUCUCCCACUUGCACUAGAGUCAAUAAUCUAGUUCACAUCACCAUGUGAUUCCAACGAAUCCAACACCCAUAUAUUUAUGGGGUCUGAUCACGUCUUGCUCGUGAGAGAGGUUUUAGUCAAUGGUUCUGAAACUUUCAGGUCCGUGUGUUCUUUACAAAUCUUUAUGUCAUCUUAUAGAUGCUGCUACUAUGUGCUAUUCGGAAAUGCUCCAAAUAUCUACUCUACUAUACGAAUCUGUUUCACUACUCAUAGUUAUUCGGAUUAGUGUCAAAGCUUGCAUCGACNNNNNNNNNNUGAACUCUUUAACCACCUCCAUAAUUGAGAAAAAUUCCUUAGUCUAUUUAGUUACUAAGGAUAACUUUGACCGCUGAUCAGUGAGUCAAUCCUGGAUCACUCUGUGUACCUCUUAACAGACUUGCUGCAAGGCACACAUCAGGUGCGGUACUCAGCAUGGCAUACUUUAGAGUCUACGGCUAAGGCAUAGAAGACGACCUUCGUCUAUUCUCUUUAUUCUGCAGUGGUCGGGUUUUGAGUCAUACUCAAAUUCACACCUUACAACACAGUCAAGAACUCCUUCUUUGCUGAUCUAUUUNNNNNNNNNNNNNNNNNNNNNNNNNNNNNNNNNNNNNNNNNNNNNNNNNNNNNNNNNNNNNNNNNNNNNNNNNNNNNNNNNNNNNNNNNNNNNNNNNNNNAAAGUCGUCUCAAAUCAGCCCUAAAACCUCCGUAUAUAUAGGUGGGAGGGAGGGGACCUUGCCUUGGGCUCAAGGAGCCCCAAGGGGGUCGGCCGAGUCCAAGGGGGGAGGACUCCCCCCAAACCGAGUUGGACUUGAUUUGGUGGGAGGGAGUCCCCCUUCCUUCCCACCUCCUCCUUUCUUUUUCUUUUCUCUUGAUUUUCUCUUCUUGGCGCAUAGAGCCCUUUUGGGCUGUCCCACCAGCCCACUAAGGGCUGGUGUGCCACCCUCAAGGCCUAUGGGCUUCCCCGGGGUGGGUUGCCCCCCCCCCCCGGUGAACUCCCGGAACCCGUUCGUCAUUCCCGGUACAUUCCCGGUAACUCCGAAAACCUUCCGGUAAUCAAAUGAGGUCAUCCUAUAUAUCAAUCUUCGUUUCCGGACUAUUCCGGAAACCCUCGUGACGUCCGUGAUCUCAUACGGGACUCCGAACAAAAUUCGGUAACCAACCAUAUAACUCAAAUACGCAUAAAACAACGUCGAANNNNNNNNNNNNNNNNNNNNNNNNNNNNNNNNNNNNNNNNNNNNNNNNNNNNNNNNNNNNNNNNNNNNNNNNNNNNNNNNNNNNNNNNNNNNNNNNNNNNACCUCAGUGCCAAGGAUUCAUAUAAUCUCGUAUGUCAUUCCCUUUGCCCUUCGGUAUGUUACUUGCCCGAGAUUCGAUCGUCAGUAUCCGUAUACCUAUUUCAAUCUCGUUUACCGGUAAGUCUCUUUACUCGUUCCGUAAUACAAGAUCCCUCAACUUACACUAAGUUACAUUGCUUGCAAGGCUUGUGUGUGAUGUUGUAUUACCGAGUGGGCCCCGAGAUACCUCUCCGUCACACGGAGUGACAAAUCCCAGUCUCGAUCCAUACUAACUCAACUAACACCUUUGGAGAUACAUGUAGAGCAUCUUUAUAGUCACCCAAUUACGUUGUGACGUUUGAUACACACAAAGCAUUCCUCCGGUGUCAGUGAGUUAUAUGAUCUCAUGGUCAUAGGAACAAAUACUUGACACGCAGAAAACAGUAGCAACAAAAUGACACGAUCAACAUGCUACGUCUAUUAGUUUGGGUCUAGUCCAUCACGUGAUUCUCCCAAUGACGUGAUCUAGUUAUCAAGCAACAACACCUUGUUCAUAAUCAGAAGACACUGACUAUCUUUGAUCAACUGGCUAGCCAACUAGAGGCUUGCUAGGGACAGUGUUUUGUCUAUGUAUCCACACAUGUAAAUGAGUCUUCAUUCAAUACAAUUAUAGCAUGGAUAAUAAACGAUUAUCUUGAUACAUGAGUUAUAAUAAUAACUAUAUUUAUUAUUGCCUCUAGGGCAUAAUUCCAACAGAUAGUUGUGAGGAAUUGAGUGUUUGAAUCAUUCUACACAAUAUUGUUGCGUACAAAAUAAUUUUCCCUCCUUUACCUGUCUGGUAUGAGGACGAUUAAAAAAAUUAUUGAUAAUUCUGUUGGCCACAACAAAGUCGCAAUAUUCGUGAUAAUCGAAAGAUUUUAUGUGCACUACAUGUGCCGUAGAGGAAUUAUUUUGAAGGCACUCUGACCUUAAAAUUUGAAUGCGCCACUCAUUAUUCUUGAAUGGAUUCAAGAAUGAUGCAAAAUAUUCAACUAUUGGCUGGGUUAUUUUGAUACUUCAUGGUAUUCAUAGACACAUCUAGAAGAUGGUCUUAGGUGUGUAUCAUCCACACAAAACCAUGUGUUUACUGAAUUAAGUGCUCAAAUUGACUAAUUUGGAGCAUAUGCAUGGGAUAAUUCCAUCGGAAUGGAAAUAUCGUUGAAUUUGAUUCACGAGAAAUUCAUGGUCAUAUUCAAUACGGUGUGUACCUACCCAGAAUGGUGUGGCUAGAUCUCUUGUCAAAAAGAGUCAAGUUGCAUGGCCAUUGUUACUGAAUUGUGAUGAUCCAACAUUUUUUUGUUGGUAACAUGCGGUUUCACACGCCGCAUAUUUGGUAUAAAUGAGGUCAAAUGCAUUUAAUACCAUAUCCCCUUACGGCCUGUACGUGGAAAUCAGUGAAGAAUUGCCCAUCUGCGAUAAUUCGGUUGCACACCGAUAUCACCACCCGAGCAUACAUUACGGCAUUCACAUAUAUUUGGGAUCUAUGUGAGGAAUAACUGUGGUAUGAUUGUUAAUCCGUCAAAUACGUUAACCCUCGCGAGGGAGUUAUUUGUAGCUCGUACGCUGAUUGCUUUUGCAAUAAAGACAUUUUCUCGCAUUAGGGGGGGAAAUGUAUCGCAUAGAAUGCCAGGAAAUGCAAAAGAAACUAGAGAUUCAGAUUAUGAGAAUUUGCAACAUAUUGCAAAUAAUCUGCCAUAUACAUUUACUGAUGACAAAGGCGUCACUGAAUUUUCGUACCGAAACGAGUGGAGGUACCUAAUAACCACUCGUAUCCCGAGAUGAGAGCAAGAGGGGGAGAAUUCUGGUCACAUGGGAUUAAGUUCUCAUAUGUUUCUGCGGAAAUAGAGGAAACUGCCUCCUCAAUCAGUAAAUGUGAUUCAACCUCGCGUUGAAUGACACCUGAUGGAUGCGCGUCAUCCAUAGCCCAACACCGAUGUGCACACAUUUUUUUAUGGUGCUGGGACAUCGAAACAUCUUGAUUCUGUUGUUGUGGGAAAUCACAAGGAGUUAAGAGGCAUAAUGAGAAUUUCAUUGAUGAUAUUGAUUCAUGAGAAUCAUAUAUUGAAGUCUACAUAUGUAGGCAUAAAUUUCUUCUUGAGAAUUGCUGAAAUCCUUUUGGGCUGUGAACCAAAAUCCAUGAAGAGUGUCGUUGACACUUAUAUUGGUUCAAAUGAAAGGAAGCAAUUAAGGAGAGUAGCACUCGCUCAUCAAAAGAGAGGUGUUUACCAUAGCAAAACUUACUCCUCAUAAGUACCUUCCGUAGGGAAGAGAAGUGAGUUUUCGUUCAGAAACAAAAAUAGAUGAUGUGGUGAGAAAGCGAGGCUUGUAGCACAUGGGUUUCCACAGAGACCCGACAUCGGUUAUGAUGUAGCAUACCUUCUCGGUAUAAGUGGAAUUAUGUUCCGAUACCGAAUUGGCAGUAUAAAUCCAUGUGGUUGAUGUAUGUAAUGGCUACAUACUCACAUGGAUCAUUCAGUUUGGAUAUAUAUAUUGAAGUCAUUGAAAUGGCUUAAUAUUCCGAAUACAAUGAUAUGUCGCAACAUGUGUGAAGCUUCACAAGUCAUCCCACGACUCUGAAGAUGUCGGAGAGUUGUGUGGUACAACCAACUAAGUGAGUUACUCCUUGAUAAGAAUUACUCUGACACUAAUGAUUGUUGAUGUGUAUUCGUGAAGAUAUCCUUAAUUGGAUUUACAUCAUGUUAUUGAUGUGGAUGAUCUUAUCAUCAAUGUCUGUACAUGACAUAUUAGAUAUACACAAUCAUUUUGAGACGGAUAUUUGGGUCAAACCAAAUGGUGCUAAGUUUAUAGCUUCAGCAUAUUCCCUCGGGAAUAAAUGUAUGUCAGUCUUCAUAUAUCUAGAAAUAUUGAAAAAGUUUAAUAUGGAUAUAUCUUAUCAAAGACACAUAUGGUCAUAUUAUACCUGGCAUGGGACACAUGCCCAUUCAAACCUAGGGGAGAUGGUGAAGUGAUAAUGGACAUGAAGUUCCAUAACUGAAUACCAUCGGAGCACUCAUAUACAUUGCAAAAUAAGUUAGGCCUGACACUAUAUUUGUUGGCAAUUUAUUGAUAGUGCAUCCCUAAUAAAAGGUAUAAUUGUUGGUGUAAGGAAUAUCUUGAGAUAUGUCCAAAACACAAAAGGUCUUGAUUAAUUCCAUUUAGAAAAUCAAGAUGGGACCAUGAUGUGAUAUCCUGAUAGUGGCUGAUAAUCUGAUCCCAACAAUGCCAUAUCAAGGACUGGAUUUACUAGAAGAGUAUUAUAUGGGAAGCCUUCAGAAUAGACUCUAAAAGGGUCCUUCCUAAGAUAAUUCUACCAUAACUACUUUGAAGCAUGACAAGAUAUACAUGUCUUUGCAGAAUGACUGGUCACAUGUGAGAUCAUGUGAAGAUUCAUUGGAAUCAAUUAUCAUUAUCUACCAUAAUGCCACUUGUAUUUCUUAUGAGUUAUAUUUAUCCUCGCAAAUUACAGAAAUGUAAGAGGAUAAUAUGCAAACAAAUUAUUGUGAGAUUCACAAUGUCUCUACCAACGUUUAUAUUUCAAAAUCAGGUUCGUGAAAUUGUUAUGAGAAAACAUUGAUGUUUGCAAAGUUCAGGGGAAGUAAAAUCCCAAGUUAUAACCUGUUGGUGAUCUUCAGAUCAUUCAUAUUAUAAUCUUUUUUACUUUAUGAGGCUUUGAAGAUGGUUUCUCAAAUAAAGUUUUUAACGAGACAAUAUAAAUACAAGUGCGGAUGUAUGUCAUAUUGGUUUUUCCUUAUAUUUUUCUCACUGGGUUUUUAAUGGAGUUUUCGAUGGCAUAUUAUUAUAAGGUUCUCCUUAAUUUUUUCCACAGGAUUUUUGAAGGAGUUUUCAGUUUGCAAUAUACGGAUGACGAAUUGAUCAAAAGAGAAUGUUGCGAAAUAAAACAUGUGAUCAAUUGUAUGGGAGGGAUGCCUCCGAGGAGGUGCCCGUUGAGGAAAAUGUGUCUCCCCAACACACCCCUUCAUCUUGUAUAUAAGUGGGUCUCCCAUAUUGCAAUGAAACUAAUGGAUCAUUUGAACUCUUUAUUUGUCUCUCUUUGCAUUCAUUCUACAACACUUCUGACGGAAAACCGUCACCUGAUCACAGGAAAAAAAAAUACACGGGAUGCAGAGAGAUGAAACGGACAAACAGCACAGCACCGACGACGCAUCAAUCAAGGUCAGUAAUACAAAUACAGGUACACAAACAUACAUCACCCACGCAGCCCUUGCCAGCGUUCCCACGGUAACGCAACACAACACACAAAUCCACGACACACGUUACGGAACAGCCCGUAUACAAACUCACGACGCCGCGUCCUCCCAACACGCAGCACGCCACAAAAACAGCUACGGGUACAUUACCACUACAUGUUUUUUCUUUUUUCUUUUUGGGGUACAGUACAGACGGUGUUGAGGUCUGGGAGACGACUCCGGCGCAAAUGACCGCCGUCGCGUCGUGUCGUGUCUCCCCGGACCAAUAAAUAUAUCAAGCCUUCUCCAAGAUGGAAGCGCUAUGUACAUACAACGGGUUCGAUCGUUCUUCGUCUCCGGCCGCCCUACCAGGACUGCUCCGCGUUGCCGUCACCUGCAUUGUUCCUUUUUGUUUUGUUUUUGAGAAUGAAGAGGGAAUGAAAUCCAACCGGAGAGAGAGAGAGAGAGAGAGAGAGAGGUCUCGAGCAGGUGAAAAUGGCGUCUUAAGGCGAGAAUUGUACCUUUUUCUCUUGCUCUUGUCCGACGAGGACGAGGUCGGGUUGCUGUGCCAGUUCCGCUUGCGCUGGUUGAUGAACCAGUUGUUGAUCUGCUUCAGCUGUAGCCCCGUCUCCUGCACCAGCCGCGCCUUGUCCUCCUCCUAACAAACCCACACACCACACCAGAGAGAGAUCGAUUCAUGACCAUCGGUCGCAGCAGCGGAGCAAAAAUUGCAGGUAACGAAAGGGUGGUGACGAUGGUAUCUGCACUGCGGGCUGUCACUUACAGUUGGGUACGGCCAUUUCGCGUGGGCUUGCCACCAAGCCUUCAGGGUGGACGCCGUGUCUCCCGGGAGCUUCCCGGCCCUUCGCUUCCGGAGUAUCUCUUCCCUGAUGUCCACAAGCUUUUCUCUGUACCCCUGCAAGCCAGGAAUUUUGUUUAGUUCAGACAACUAACAAACAUGGUGGCAGCUGACAGAAUGGUAGUGCAGUAAGUUUUACCUGUUUAAGCUCGUGCUUCAGCUCUUGCCUGACGCGCUCGACCAAGGAUCUCUCACCCUCGGUUAGCAUCCCGAAGCCCAUGCCAUCGGACACGUCGUUUCCGUCGAACAUGUUGCUCUCGCUGUCGACCGGGUUGUCUUCAUCAUCAGACAUAGUUGCCCCGGUGCCUUCGCCAGGAGAUGCCCCUAUGUGAAGAACCAAUAUUAGCAGAACUCAGAACCGGCCAAUCUCCAACUUAUCUUAUAAGAACAGGUAUGCCUAUAUAGACAGGUUCGACAACUUAAGUCUGUAACUCUUGUAACUAUAUACUACUCCCUCUAUAAACUAAUAUAAGAGCAUUUAGAUCACUACUUUAGUGAUCUAAAUGCUCUAAUAUUAGAUUAUGGAGGGAGUAAUAUAUACUAGGAACUUAUCUUGUAAUAAAAGGUAUGCUAUAAAGACAGGUUUGACAACUUGAGUCUGUAACUAAUACUAAUAUAUAAGAACUUAUCUUAUAAGAAAAGGUAUGGCUAUAGAGACAGGUUCGACAACUUAAGUCUGUAGCUAAUACUAAUAUAUAAGAACUUAUCUUAUAAGAAAAUGUAUGGCUACAAAGAUAGGUUGGACAACUUAAGUUUGUAACUCUUGUAACUAAUACUCCCUCCGUCCGGAAUUACUUGUCAUAGAUGUAUAAAAAUGGAUGUAUCUAGAACUAAAAUGCAUCUAGAUACAUUCAUUUCUCUGACAAGUAAUUCCAAACGAAGGGAGUACUAAUAUAUAAGAAACCGAAAUGAUACUGCUAUAAAGAUGGACCUAGUAUCUCAUAGAACCUACAAGGGUGUGAAUUAUGACCUAUAUUUUCUAUCAGGGAAUGCAACAGUAGAGGAAAUAAGGGUCAAGUCAUCGAGCUCUCCCUAGUUGAAUCUUGAAAUGAUUAACUGUUUGUGUUCUAUCGCUGGGUGCAGAGAGCAGAAGUAAUAAAACCCUUCUUCUAUUUAUUUUUGCUGUGGCGGAAGAUCCCCUAAUAGGACCUACAAUUCCACUAUCUCAUAGGAAGUAAUAAAAAGUUUUGUAGCUAUGUUAGUUCAUUUUGUAACCAUGAAGUGUUCUUCAAUAUGCGAAACUUUUUUGAACCAGAGAAGGGGGCUUCUUUUCCUAUAUGAAUUGUCUGCCUUUUCGACGAGCAACAUGAAAUAUCUGAAAGGGUACCCCUUAUGUGAUGGUUCCGUAUUAUAUAGUCCGUGACUGUUGCGCGUGGAAGCUAAUUGCACUAGACGCAGUAAGAGAAGCUUUAUCAGGACAGCUUAGCUAAGAUUAUGAACGCGAGGUACCGUCAGUUCAGUUGCGUGGUUGGUGCGACACAAGGGUGUAACUGAUAAUAUCAAAAAGGGAACCGCCACAUACACCCAACUGAAAUCUCAAAAGGUAUAGCUUUAAAGCCAGGUUCAACAGCUUAAGUCUGCAAUUCUUGUAACUGAUAAUAUCAAAAAGGGAACCGGUACUACUAUAGUGGACCUAGUAUCUCAUAGGACCUACAAGGAUGUGAAUUAUGACAUAAAUUUUCUACCAGGGAAUGCAACAAUAGAGGAAAAAAAGGGUUGAGUCAUCGAGCUCUUUCGAGUUGAAUUUUGAAAUCAUUAACUACUUGUGUUAUGUGUGUAUUCGCUGGGUGCAGAGAGCAGAAGUGAUAAAACACUUCCUUUUAAAUUUUCGAGUUGUGGCUAAAGAUCCCAGAAGACGGUGUCCCCCACUCUAAGUAGCACGAUAGUCACUAUGACUAACAGUUAACAAGCAUGUAGUGUACAUAUUACACAAAAUACUCUUCCUAGAGAACUUGAGAAGCACAUAUCUUGCUGUUGAACUGAUGAACUUAAGAUGCUCUGUUCUUACCUGUAAGACUCUGUAAAGUCUGCUCGAGCUCCCAGCAAGCCAUCACCGCUUCCAUGGCGUGGACGCGCACAUGCUGCUGGAGCUGUUCCUUGAAGGAACAGAGGAGGAGCACGUAGUGUGUCUGCAACAAAAAAGGAGAGCAAAACCUUUAAGUAUAACAUAUAUAGAAAAGGCAUGGGGUCAGUCAAUAUGAUGAUGUUACAUGAGGCAGGAGGAUUGCCAUUUCCAGGCACAAGAAAAGGCUACUGCUAAGCGAAGGUACACUUGUAGUAUUUUUUGGUUUGCUUUUGUCUCUAUCGCAGAGGUGAGGCGCUUGUGGUUGAGAAAACAAAGUUGCUCACAGCUAGAGCCUGGAGCAUACUCCUAGCAAGCAGUAGUUUAUUUGCAGGUGGGAUGGGUAAUAAUCAGGUGAUGAACUAGCAUGAUAUUCGCAGCUGAAGAACCUAAGCUAAACCAAAUCCACCGGCAGAAAUUAGCGAGUACUAAUCCCAUUUAAUCUCCUAUGCAAGUUGCAACAAAUCAAACAUGUUUUGUGCAUUCGAAAAAAAGGUAAUCUGGCUAGCCCGUUUGAAACCCCAAUCCCGACACGAGCAGGGCAAUUCCAUGGCCAAAUCACAUCCAAUCCCCAAGUUUUCAAACCACAAACGCACGCACGCACGCACGCCGCGUCAAUCUGCUGCUACUGCCGGAGCACGCGCGGGGCAGCCGACGUGGCGUGAAGGAAGGGCGUCUCGUAGUAGCAGCAGCUCACCAUGAAGAGGUCGAGCUCCUCGCCGCCGGAGAGCGCGCCGGCGGGGGGCAUGGGAGGCGGGGCGCGCGCGGCGAUCUGCGCGUCGAUGCGGGGGAGCUGGUCGACGGGGGUGGCGACGCGGAGGCAGGCGACGUGCGCCUCCAGCAGCCGCUCGUACAGCGGGUGCGCCNNNNNNNNNNNNNNNNNNNNNNNNNNNNNNNNNNNNNNNNNNNNNNNNNNNNNNNNNNNNNNNNNNNNNNNNNNNNNNNNNNNNNNNNNNNNNNNNNNNNUAUUUGCAACUCGAAACAGGAACUGCGGAAUAGGCGAAGGCUGGCAAAAGAUGAAGUGACGAUGCGCGUAGGAAAUGGUUGCAAGGUUGAUGCAAUCGCCGUCGGCACAGUGUCACUUCAGUUACCGUCAGGAUUAGUGAUGAACUUAAAUCAUUGUUAUUUAGUGCCUGCGUUGAGCAUGAACAUUGUAUCUGGAUCUUGUUUAUUGCGAGACGAUUACUCUUUUAAAUCAGAGAAUAAUGGUUGUUCUAUUUCUAUGAGUAACAUCUUUUAUNNNNNNNNNNAUCUCUGGAUCUUAAGUCUGAGAAUAAUGGUUGUUCUAUUUCUAUGAGUAACAUCUUUUAUGGUCAUGCACCGAAUGUGAGAGGAUUGUUCAUAUUGAAUCGUGAUAGCGAUACACAUAUACAUAACAUUGAGACCAAAAGAGUUAGAGUUAACAAUGAUAGCGCCAUAUUUUUGUGGCACUGCCGCUUAGGUCAUAUUGGUGUAAAGCGCAUGAAGAAACUCCAUGCUGAUGGACUUNNNNNNNNNNNNNNNNNNNNNNNNNNNNNNNNNNNNNNNNNNNNNNNNNNNNNNNNNNNNNNNNNNNNNNNNNNNNNNNNNNNNNNNNNNNNNNNNNNNNAGAUAGAACUUGACGAGGUUGUCGAACCUCUCAUCCCUCUGGAUGGUGGCGCAGGGCAAGGGGAAACCUCUGUCAUUGCGACGCCGGUUGAAUUGGAAGUUGAUGAUGAUGAUCAUGAAACUCCAGUUCAAGUUUAUGUCGAACCACGCAGGUCGACGAGACCACGUGCUGCUCCAGAGUGGUACGGUAAUCCCGUCUUAUCAAUCAUGUUGUUANNNNNNNNNNGUUGCGACGCCGGUUGAGGAGGAAGUUAAUGAUGAUGAUCAUGAAACUCCAGUUCAAGUUUCUGUUGAACCACGCAGGUCGACGAGAUCACGCGCUGCUCCAGAGUGGUACGGUAAUCCCGUCUUAUCAAUCAUGUUGUUANNNNNNNNNNGUACUGCCUGAGGGCCGCAAGGCCAUUCAGAACAAAUGGAUCUUUAAGAGGAAGACGGACGCUGACGGUAAUGUGACCGUUUAUAAAGCUCGACUUGUNNNNNNNNNNGACAACAAUGAACCUGCAAAUUAUGAAGAUGCAAUGGUGGGCCCAGAUUCCAACAAAUGGCUAGAAGCCAUGAAAUCCGAGAUAGGAUCCAUGUAUGAGAACAAAGUGUGGACUUUGGAGAUACUACCUGAGGGCCGCAAGGCUAUUCAGAACAAAUGGAUCUUUAAGAAGAAGACGGACGCUGACGGUAAUGUGACCGUUUAUAAAGCUCGACUUGUGGCAAAGGGUUUUUCACAAGUUCAAGGAGUUGACUACGAUGAGACUUUCUCACCCGUAGCGAUGCUUAAGUCCGUCAGAAUCAUGUUAGCAAUAGUUGCAUUUUUUGAUUAUGAAAUCUCGCAGAUGGAUGUCAAAACGACAUUCCUUAACGGUUUCCUUAAGGAAGAGUUGUAUAUGAUACAACCCGAAGGUUUUGUCGAUCCUAAGAAUGCUAACUAGGUGUGCAAGCUCCAGCGAUCCAUUUAUGGACUGGUGCAAGCAUCUCGGAGUUGGAACAAACGCUUUGAUGAGGUGAUCAAAGCAUUUGGGUUUAUACAAGUGGUUGGAGAAUCUUGUAUUUACAAGAAAGUGAGUGGGAGCUCUGUGGCGUUUCUAAUAUUAUAUUUGGAUGACAUAUUACUGAUUGGAAACAACGUAGAGUUUUUAGAGAGCAUAAAGGAUUACUUGAAUAAAAGUUUCUCUAUGAAGGACCUAGGAGAAGUUGCUUACAUUCUAGGCAUUAAGAUCUAUAGGGAUAGAUCAAAACGCCUGAUAGGACUUUCACAAAGCACAUACCUUGAUAAAGUUUUGAAGAGGUUCAAAAUGGAACAGUCCAAGAAAGGGUUCUUGCCAGUUUUACAAGGUACGAGAUUGAGUAAGACUCAGUGCCCAGCAACUGAUGAAGAUAGAGAGCAUAGGCGCUCCGUCCCCUAUGCUUCAGCCAUAGGUUCUAUCAUGUAUGCGAUGAUGUGCACUAGACCGGAUGUUAGCCUGGCCAUAAGUAUGGCAGGUAGGUUCCAGAGUAAUCCAGGAGUGGAUCACUGGACAGCGGUCAAGAAUAUCCUGAAGUACCUGAAAAGGACUAAGGAGAUGUUUCUCGUGUAUGGAGGUGACGAAGAGCUCGCCGUAAAAGGUUACGUCGAUGCAAGCUUUGACACAGAUCCGGACGACUCUAAGUCGCAAACCGGAUACGCAUUUAUUCUUAAUGGGGGUGCAGUAAGCUGGUGCAGUUCCAAGAAAAGCGUCGUAGCAGAUUCUACAUGUGAAGCGGAGUACAUGGCUGCCUCGGAGGCGGCUAAGGAGGGUGUCUGGAUGAAGCAGUUCAUGACGGAUCUUGGAGUGGUGCCAAGCGCACUGAAUCCAAUAACCUUGUUCUGUGACAACACUGGUGCCAUUGCCUUAGCAAAGGAACCACGGUUUCACAAGAAGACCAGACACAUCAAACGACGCUUCAACCUCAUCCGCGACUACGUCGAGGGAGAGGACGUGAAUAUAUGCAAAGUGCACACGGAUCUGAUAGUCAGUUGGUCAAUGAUAGUCAGUGUCUUCUGAUUAUGAACAAGGUGUUGUUGCUUGAUAACNNNNNNNNNNNNNNNNNNNNNNNNNNNNNNNNNNNNNNNNNNNNNNNNNNNNNNNNNNNNNNNNNNNNNNNNNNNNNNNNNNNNNNNNNNNNNNNNNNNNGGGGGGGGGGGGGCAACCCACCCCGGGGAAGCCCAUAGGCCUUGGGGGAGACACACCAGCCCUUAGUGGUCUGGUGGGACAGACCACAAGUGCCCUAUGCGCCAAGGAGAAGAAAAUCAAGAGAGAAAGAAAAAAAAGGAGGAGGUGGGAAGGAAGGGGGACUCCCUCCCACCAAACCUAGUCCAACUCGGUUUGGGGGGGGGGAGAGUCCUCCCCCUUGGCUCGGCCGACCCCCUUGAGGGUCCUUGGACCCCAAGGCAAGGCCCCCUCCCUCCCACCUAUAUAUGCGGAGGUUUUAGGGCUGAUUUGAGACGACUUUUCCACGGCAGCCCGACNNNNNNNNNNAGAGGUUUUAUGGCUGAUUUGAGACGACUUUUCCACGGUAGCCCGACCACAUACCUCCACGGUUUUUCCUCUAGAUCGCGUUUCUGCGGAGCUCGGGCGGAGCCCUGCUGAGACAAGAUCAUCACCAACCUUCGGAGCGCCGUCACGCUGCCGGAGAACUCUUCUACCUCUCUGUCUCUCUUGCUGGAUCAAGAAGGCCGAGAUCAUCGUCGAGCUGUACGNNNNNNNNNNCCGGAGCGCCGUCACGCUGCCGGAGAACUCUUCUACCUCUCCGUCUCUCUUGCUGGAUCAAGAAGGCCGAGAUCAUCGUCGAGUUGUACAUGUGUUGAACGCGGAGGUGCCGUCCGUUCGGUACUAGAUCGUGGGACUGAUCGNNNNNNNNNNNNNNNNNNNNNNNNNNNNNNNNNNNNNNNNNNNNNNNNNNNNNNNNNNNNNNNNUGGAGGUGCCGUUCGUUCGGCACUAGAUCGUGGGACGGAUCGCGGGACGGUUCGUGGGGCGGAUCGAGGGACGUGAGGACGUUCCACUACAUCAACCGCGUUUCUUAACGCUUGUGCUGUGCGAUCUACAAGGGUACGUAGAUCGAAUAUCCCCUCUCGUAGAUGGACAUCACCAUGAUAGGUCUUCGUGCGCGUAGGAAUUUUUUUGUUUCCCAUGCGACGUUCCCCAACAGUGGCAUCAUGAGCUAGGUUCAUGCGUAGAUGUCUUCUCGAGUAGAACACAAAAGUUUUUGUGGGCGGUGAUGUGCGUUUUGCUGCCCUCCUUGGUCUUUUCUUGAUUCCGCGGUAUUGUUGGACCGACAUUACGCGUACGCUUACGAGAGACUGGUUUCAUCGCUACGAGUAACCUCGUUGCUCAAAGAUGACUGGCAAGUGUCGGUUUCUCCAACUUUGGUUGAAUCGGAUUUGACCGAGGAGGUCCUUGGAUGAGGUUAAAUAGCAAUUCAUACAUCUCUGCUGUGGUGUUUGCGUAAGUAAGAUGCGAUCCUACUAGAUACCCAUGGUCNNNNNNNNNNUAUAAGGUUAAAUAGCAAUUCAUAUAUCUCCGUUGUGGUGUUUGCGUAAGUAAGAUGCGAUCCUACUAGAUACCCAUGGUCACCACGUAAAACAUGCAACAACAAUUAGAGAACGUCUAACUUGUUUUUGCAGGGUAUGCUUGUGAUGUGAUAUGGCCAACGAUGUGAUGUGAUAUAUUGGAUGUAUGAGAUGAUCAUGUUGUAAUAGUUAAUAUCGACUUGCACGUCGAUGGUACGGCAACCGGCAGGAGCCAUAGGGUUGUCUUUAAACUAACAUUUGUGCUUGCAGAUUCGUUUACUAUAUUGCUAGGACGUAGCUUUAGUAGUAAUAGUAUGAGUAGCACGACAACCCCGAUGGCGACACGUUGAUGGAGAUCAUGAUGAUGGAGAUCAUGGUGUGACGCUGGUGACAAGAAGAUCGUGCCGGUGCUUUGGUGAUGGAGAUCAAGAAGCACAUGAUGAUGGCCAUAUCAUGUCACUUAUGAAUUGCAUGUGAUGUUAAUCCUUUAUGCACCUUAUCUUGCUUAGAACGACGGUAGCAUUAUGAGGUGAUCUCUCACUAAAAUUUCAAGACGAAAUUGUGUUCUCCCCGACUGUGCACCAUUGUGACAGUUCUUCGUUUCGAGACACCACGUGAUGAUCGGGUGUGAUAGACUCAACGUUCACAUACAACGGGUGCAAAACAGUUGCACACGCGGAACACUCGGGUUAAGCUUGACGAGCCUAGCAUGUGCAGACAUGGCCUCGGAACACAUGAGACCGAAAGGUCGAGCAUGAAUCGUAUAGUGGAUAUGAUUAGCAUAGAGAUGCUUACCACUGAAACUAUUCUCGACUCACGUGAUGAUCGGACUUGAGAUAGUGGAUUUGCAUCAUGUACCACUCAAAUGACUAGAGAGAUGUACUUUUUGAGUGGGAGUUCUUAAGUAAUUUGAUUAGAUGAACUAAUUGUCAUGAACAUAGUCUAAUGGUCUUUGCGAAUUACGAUGUAGCUUGCGCUAUAGCUCUACUGUUUUUAUAUGUUCCUAGAGAAAAUUUAGUUGAAAAUUGAUAGUAGCAAACUUUGCAUACUGAGUCUGUAAAACCGAGGAUUGUCCUCGUUGCUGCGCAGAAGGCUUAUGUCCUUAAUGCACCACUCGGUGUGCUGCACCUCGAGCGUCGUCUGUGGAUGCUGUGAACAUCCGACAUACACGUUUCUGAUGACUACACGAUAGUUCAGUGCAAAAUACUUAAUGGCUUAGAAGCAAGGCGCCGAAGACGUUUUUGAAACGUCACGGAACAUAAGUGAUGUUCUAAAGAGAUGAAAUUGUGAUUUCAUGCUUGUGCCCUUGUUAAGAGGUACGAGACCUCCAACAAGAUUCUUCGUCCACAAAGUAAAGGAGAAAAGCUCAAUCGUUGAGCGUGUGCUCAGAUUGUCUNNNNNNNNNNACAAAAAUACUUAAUGGCUUAGAAGCAAGGCGCCGAAAACGUUUUGAAACGUCACGAAACAUAAGUGAUGUUCUAAAGAGAUGAAAUUUUGAUUUCAUGCUCGUGCCCUUGUUAAGAGGUACGAGACCUCCGACAAGAUUCUUUGUCCAUAAAGUAAAGGAGAAAAGCUCAAUCGUUGAGCGUGUGCUCAGAUUGUCUGAGUACGACAAUCGCUUGAAUCAAGUGGGAGUUAAUCUUCUAGAUGAGAUAGUGAUGGUUCUCCAAAGUCACUGCCACCAAGCUGUGAGAGCUUCGUGAUGAACUAUAACAUAUCAAGGAUAGAUACAAUGAUCCUUGAGCGAUUCGCGAUGUUUGACACUGCAAAAGUAGAAAUCAAGAAGGAGCAUCAAUAGUUGAUGGUUAGUAAAACCACUAAGUUUCAAGAAAAGCAAGGGCUAGAAGGGAUACUUCGUGAAACGGCAAAACAGUUGCUGCACUAAUGAAGAGACCCAAUAUUAAACCCAAACCCGAGACUAAGUGCUUCUAUAAUGAGGGGAACAGUCACUGAGGCGGAGCAACUCUAGAUACUUGGUAGAUAAGAAGGAUGGCAAAAGUCGAAAGAAGUAUAUUUGAUAUACAUGAUGUUGAUGUGUNNNNNNNNNNGAAAGUAGAAAUCAAGAAGGAGCAUCAAUAGUUGAUGGUUUGUGAAACCACUAAGUUUCAAGAAAGGCAAGGGCUAGAAGGGAUACUUCGUGAAACGGCAAAACAGUUGCUGCACUAAUGAAGAGACCCAAGAUUAAACCCAAACCCGAGACUAAGUGCUUCUGUAAUGAGGGGAACAGUCACUGAGGCGGAGUAACUCUAGAUACUUGGGAGAUAAGAAGGCUGGCAAAAGUCGAAAGAAGUAUAUUUGAUAUACAUGAUGUUGAUGUGUNNNNNNNNNNNNNNNNNNNNNNNNNNNNNNNNNNNNNNNNNNNNNNNNNNNNAGUUGCUAAGUGAUUAGUAACACGAAAUAAUAGCUACGGCAUAAACGGAGACUAGCUAAAGGCGAGGUGACGAUACGUGUUGGAAGUGUUUCCAAGGUUGAUAUGAUCAAAACGUCGCACACUCCCUCUACUAUCGGGAUAGGUGUUAAACCUAAAUAAUUGUUAUUUGGUGCUUGCGUUAAGCAUGAACAUGAUUGGAUCGUNNNNNNNNNNGGUUGCUAAGUGAUUAGUAACACGAAAUGAAAGCUACGGCAUAAACGGAGACUAGCUAAAGGCGAGGCGACGAUACGUGUUGGAAGUGUUUCCAAGGUUGAUAUGAUCAAACGUCGCACGCUCCCUCUACCAUCGGGAUUGGUGUUAAACCUAGAUAAUUGUUAUUUGGUGCUUGCGUUAAGCAUGAACAUGAUUGGAUCGUGUUUAUUGCAAUACGAUUAUUCAUUUAAAGAGAAUAAUGGUUACUCUAUUUGCUUGAAUAAUCACCUUCAAUGGUUUAUUGAAUCUCGAUCGUAGUGUUACACAUGUUCAUGAUAUUGGUGCCAAAAGGAUACGAGGUAAUGAUGAUAGUACCACUUACUUGUGGCGCUGCCGCUUGAGUCAUGUUGGUGUAAAUUGCAUGAAGAGGCUCCAUGAUGAUGGAUCUUUAUACUCACUUGAUUUUGAAUCACCGGUGACAUGCAAAUCAUACCACAUGAGCAAGGCCUUGUUUUCAUUGAGAUGAAACAAGAUAGUAACUUGUUGGAAGUGAUGCAUUUUGAUGUAUGCAAUCCAAUGGGUGUUGAGGCACGCAGUGGAUAUCAUUAUGUUCUUACUUCAAUGACGAUUUGAGUAGAUACAAGAGUAUUUACUUAAUGAAUCACAAGUCUGGAAUAUUGAAAAGUUCAAUUCUGUUUCAGAGUGAAGUUCGUCGUAACAAGAGGAUAAACUGUCUAUGACAUGAUCAUAGAAAUGAAUAUGUGAGUUACGAGUUUUGGUACGCAGUUAAGACAAUGUGGAAAUUGUUUCGCAGUUCAUGCCACCUGGAACAUCAUAGUGUGAUGAUGUGUCUUAACGUCAUAGCCACGCACUAUUUGGUAUGGUGCAUGCUAUGAUGUCUGUUAUCGAAUUACCACUAUCGUUUAUGGGUUAUGCAUUAGAGACAACCGCAUUCACUUUAAAUAGGGCACCGCGUAUUUCUGUUGAGAUGACACAGUAUAGACUGAGGUUUAGAGAAAUCUAAACCGUCGUUUCUUGAAAGUUUGGGGCUUCGACACUUAUGUGAAAAGGUUUCAGUCUGAUAAGCUCGAACCCAAAGCGGAUAAAUGCAUCUUCAUAGGAUAUCCAAAACAGUUGGGUACAUCUCCUAUCUCAGAUCCGAAAGCAAAGUGUUUGUUUCUAGAAACAGAUUCUUUCUCGAGGAAAGGUUUCUCUCGAAAGAAUUGAGUGGGAGGGUGAUAGAACUUGAUGAGUUUAUUGAACCAUCACUUCGACUAGUGUGUAGCAGGGCACACGAAGUUGUUCCUGUGGCGCCUACACCAAUUGAAGUGAAAGUUGAUGAUGGUGAUCAUCGAGCAUCGAAUCAAGUUACUACAAAUCUCGUAGGUUGACAAGGUCGCGUACUACUGCAGAGUGGUACGGUAACCNNNNNNNNNNAGGGUGGUAGAACUUGAUGAGGUUAUUGAACCAUCACUUCAACCAGUGUGUAGCAGGGCGUAGGAAGUUGUUCCUGUGGCGCCUACACCAAUUGAAGUGAAAGCUGAUGAUGGUGAUCAUCGAGCAUCGGAUCAAGUUACUACAAGCCUCGUAGGUUGACAAGGUCGCGUACUACUGCAGAGUGGUACGGUAACCCUGUCUUGGAGGUCAUGUUGUUGAGCAACAAUGAACCUACGAGUUAUGAAGAAAGCAAUGGUGGGCCCGGAUUCCGACAAAUGGCUGGANNNNNNNNNNNNNNNNNNNNNNNNNNNNNNNNNNNNNNNNNNNNNNNNNNNNNNNNNNNNNNNNNNNNNNNNNNNNNNNNNNNNNNNNNNNNNNNNNNNGGAAGAACUACUUGAUGGUCAUAGGACUAUUUAGUAAAGACGGAUCUCUAAAAGGAAGACAGACGAUGAUGGUGAUAAGUCACUAUUAAGAAAAGCUUGACUUGUCGCAAAGAUGUUUUCCGACAAGAUCAAACAGUUGACUAUGAUGAUACUUUCUCACUCGUAGCGAUGCUAAAAGUCUGUUAGAAUUAUGUUAGUAGUUGAUGCAUUAUUUAUGAAAUAUUGCACAUAGGAUGUCAAAACAUUGUUUCCUCGACGGUUUCCUUGAGCAAACAUUGUAUGUGAUACAACCAUGAGGUUUUGUCGAUCCUAAAGAUACUAACAAGUAUGCAAGCUCCAGCGAUCCUUCAAUGGACUGGUGCAAGCAUCUCNNNNNNNNNNUUAAGAACUACUUGAUGGUCAUAGGACUAUUGAGUAAAGAUGGAUCUUUAAAAGGAAGACAGACGACGAUGGUGAUAUGUCACUAUUAAGAAAAGCUCGACUUGUCGCAAAGAUGUUUCCGACAAGAUCAAAUAGUUGACUAUGAUGAGACUUUCUCACUCGUAGCGAUGCUAAAAGUCUGUUAGAAUUAUGUUAGUAGUUGCUGCAUUAUUUAUGAAAUAUUGCACGUAGGAUGUCAAAACAUUGUUUCCUCGACAGUUUCCUUGAGCAAACAUUGUAUGUGAUACAACUAGGAGGUUUUGUCGAUCCUAAAGAUACUAGAAAGUAUGCAAGCUCCAGCGAUCCUUCAAUGGACUGGUGCAAGCAUCUCGGAGUUGGAAUAUACACUUUGAUGAGAUGAUCAAAGAUUUUGGGUUUGUACAAGGUUUAUGAGAAACUUGUAUUUCCAAAGAAGUGAGUGGGAGCACGAUAGAAUUUCUGAUAAGUAUAUGUGGUUGACAUAUUGUUGAUCAGAAGUAAUGUAGAAUUUCUGUGAAGCAUAAAUGGUUGUUUGAAAGGAGUUUUUCAAAGGAAUACCUGGAUUGAGCUACUUGAACGUUGAGCAUCAAGAUCUAUGGAUAUAGAUCAAAACGCUUAAUAAAAGUUUCAACAAGAUGCAUGCCUUGACAAGUUNNNNNNNNNNGAUAGAUAAAAACGCUUAAUUGAAGUUUCAACAAGAUGCAUGCCUUGACAAGUUUUUGAAGGAAUUCAAAAUAGAUCAGCAAAGAAGGAGUUCUUGACUGUGUUGUAAGGUGUGAAUUUGAGUAAGACUCAAAACCCAACCACGGCAGAAUAAAGAGAAUAGACGAAGGUCGUCUUCUAUGCCUUAGUCGUAGACUCUAAAAUAUGCCAUGCUGAGUACCGCACCUGCUGUGUGCCUUGCAGCAAGUCUGUUAAGAGGUACACAGAGUGAUCCAGGAUUGAAUCACUGAUCAGCGGUCAAAUUUAUCCUUAGUAACUAAAUAGACUAAGGAAUUUUUCUCGAUUAUGGAGGUGGUUAAAGAGUUCGUCGUAAAGGGUUACGUCGAUGCAAGCUUUGACACUAAUCCGAAUAACUAUGAGUAGUGAAACGGAUUCGUAUAGUAGAGUAGAUAUUUGGAGCAUUUCCGAAUAGCACGUAGUAGCAACAUCUAUAAGAUGACAUAAAGAUUUGUAAAGAACGCACGGAUCUGAAAGUUUCAGAACCGUUGACUAAAACCUCUCUCACGAGCAAGACGUGAUCAGACCCCAAAACUAUAUGGGUGUUGGAUUCGUUAAAAUCACAUGGUGAUGUGAACUAGAUUAUUGACUCUAGUGCAAGUGGGANNNNNNNNNNCUCUAACGCUUCUGAUGUACGGUCUACAAGGGUACGUAGAUCUCUCAUCCCCUCUCGUAGAUGGACAUCACCAUGAUAGGUCUUCGUGCGCGUAGGAAAUUUUUUGUUUCCCAUGCGACAUUCCCCAACACUUUAACCUUCUCAUAACAUAUAUUGAUGACUUCAUGUUAUCCUUUGAAUUACUCACUUUGGCGGUCACAGUUUGAUUAUUGCAGUGCAUAAGAACACCCGACACAGGUUUCUCAACAACCGGUAAGUCACUCACCCACCAUCAUCAUUUCUCAAGAGCCGGCGAAGCCAAUCAGCUUUGAACGUAGUUGUAUCUAGUGAUGUGAGUUCUGUUUCCAUUGUUAACCUCAUUAAGAUGGUAUAAUUGCAAGACUUCCAAGAAACAAUGCCACCUCCAUGAGUGAAUACAUACCUGCUCGUGGCCUUUAUCUCAUCAGCACCACAUAUCUAGUUUGUGUCACUAUACCCUUCAAGUACAUUUGGCUAACCAAUGUAGUGAAUUCCAUAACUCGUAGUGCCUUUCAAAUAAUGCAGAAUUCUUUCAACGGCUUUCCAAUGAACAUCUCCUGGGUAUUAGACAAACCGACUCAGUUUGCUAAUAGCAAAAGAGAUGACGGGUCUCAUAGCGCUGGCUAAAUUGAUAAGUGAGCCAAUAAUUUGAGAGUAUUUCAAUCGGUCUCUAGCAAUUCUUUGAUUCUUUAGAAGCAACACGCUAGCAUCAGAUGGUGUUCGAGAGGGCUUGCAGUCACUAGAACCAAAGCGACUCGAGAUUUUUUUCCAUAUACUGAGAUUGAAGCAAUGUAAUCCCACCAUCAUCAUCUCUCAAGAGCUUGAUGUUCAGAAUAACAUCAGCUACUCCUAAAUCCUUCAUCUGAAAACAACAAGAUAGGAACUCCUUGACUUCCUUAAUAACAUUUAGAUUUAUUCCAAAAAACAAUAUGUCAUCAACAUACAAGGAAAGGAUAACUCCAUCGCCACCACAAUGGAGAUAUUACACACAUUUGUGAGCUCUGUUUACAACAAAGCAUGCAUUUGUUAGAGUUCUUUAAAACUUUUCAUGCCAGUGCUUAGGUGCUUUCUUAGGUCCAUACAAAGACUUCAACAACUUGCACACAUUUCCUUCCUAACCGUCCACUAUAAACCCAUCUGGUUGUUCCAUGUAUAUUUCCUCGUCCAACUCUCCAUUUAGGAAAGCAGUUUUAACAUCUAUUUGAUGAACGAGAAGACCAUGUGAGGUAGCUAGUGAAAGUAGUACUCGAAUGGUGGUCAGUCGAGCCACAAGUGAGUAAGUAUCAAAGACGCCUUUACCUUCCUUUUGGGUAUAACCCUUGGCCACGAGUCGUGUCUUGUAUUCCUCAAUAUUACCAUUAGGCCUAAGCUUCUUCUUGAAUACCCAUUUGCGAUCUAUAGGUUUGCACGCAUAAGGACGACCAAUGAUCUCCCAAGUUUCAUUUGCCAGGAUGGAAUCCAUCUCACUACGAACUACUUCCUUUGAGUGGUCAGCAUCUUCAGAUAAAUAGUCCUCGGAAAUAGAACUGGGAGUGUUAUGAGAUACACAAGAAAAUCAUCUCCAAAGGACUUUGCAGUCCUCUGUCUCUUGCUCCUUUUAUGAUUCUCAUUAUUGUCCUCCAUAUGCUCUUCAAGAUGUCACAUCAGAAUAGUAGGUUCAUGACAUGACAUGCAGUCAAUAUCGCUUCCCCCCACCAAGCCUUGGAGAAACCCAAUAUGUCUAACUUGGCGUUAACUAAAUCAUUUAACAAACUCACGAGGGCGCCCCAGGCUUUUUGCCACCUCGUGGCUCCUCGGGUCUUCUUCCGAGGUUCCCCGGGUCUCUUGUGGUCCACAAAAAAUCAUCAAAAAGUUUCAUUGUGUUUGGACUACGUUUGGUAUAGAUUUUUCGUAGAAGUCAAAAACACGCAAAAAACAGGAACUGGCACUGGGCACUAGGUUAAUGGGCUAGUUUCCCAAAAUGAUGUAAAAUAGCAUAUUAUUGCAUAUAAAGUAAACAAUAUUGGUAAUAUAAUAGCAUGAAACAAUCAAAAAUUCUAAAUAUGUUGGAGACGUAUCAGCAUCCCCAAGCUUAAUUCAUGCUUUUCCUCGAGUACGUAAAUGACAAAAAAAUGAUGUGGCAUGCUACCCAACAUGUAAUCUCUUUCAGGUGUAAUUGUUGAGAAAUGGUGGAGUAAUUGAUAUCAAAAUAAUAAUAUCCAUGAAUAUAAGAAUCAUAAUCAGUACUUUUUCAAAAUAUACUAUCCUUAAAGAAUGUUAUCCCUACUCAUUUGAUCAUGUUAGCAUGAUAUGACUCCGUCUUCACCGCAUAAGUAUAAAUCAUGAGCUCACGUGUGUCAAACCAGGUGAUACGUCCAUUUUGCAUCAUGAUUUCCUAUUAAUAUUUAUGUUAUUCUUGGUCAUUUUUCCAAUUUAUGAUACAAUUUUUAUGCCUUUUCUCUCUCUAUUUACAAGGUACAUCACAAAGAGGGAAAUCGUUGGGAAUUAGAAUUCUAGACCUAAAACCAAGAAAACGGGUGAAAAUACUUGACUCCAAAUGACCUGAAACUUCACAGAGAAUUUUUAUGGAAUAUAUAAUAAUUAUUGGUCCCAAAAUACACUAGACGGAGCCACCUACUGGCCAUAAGCUAACAAGGCGCCCCCUAGGCAUGCCGUGUUAGCUUAUGGGGCCUACGUAGGUGCCCUGGGCCCCUCGUCUCCUAUAAGGUGUGUUUUGAACAAGAAAAAAUCAAGAGGAUACUUUUGGGAUGAGGGGCCUCCAUAUUGAGGCAUAAAAUUGGGCACAGCCCCUUUUGCUCUCCGACAUAGAGAUUCUGUCGGGGAAACUUUUCUUCGAGAGGGGGAGGUCAAAGGCAUCCUCAUCACCAAUGCUUCCUCCUUUGUGGGAGAACCAAUCUUCAUCAACAUCUUCAUGAGCAUCGUCUGAUCUCAAACCCUAAUUCAUCACUUGUACUCACUCUUUGUCUCAAAACCUUAGAUUGGUACAUGUGGGUUACUAGUAGUGUUGAUUUCAUCUCAUAGUUGAUGUUUGUUGGUUUAUUUGGUGGAAAACAUUAUGUUCAAAUCCAUAAUCAUAAUUAUUACACCUCUGAUCUUGAACAUGUUGAUGAUGUGUGAGUAGUUACUUUUGUUCGUGAGGACAUGAGAGAAGUCUUGUUAUAAGUAAUCAUGUGAAGUUGGUAUUCGUUCGAUAUUUUGACGAUAUGUAUGUUGUUCCUUCUCUUAGUGGUGUUGUGUGAAUGUCAACUACAUGAAAUUCACCAUAUUACGGGUCGAAGGGAAGGAAUUGUGGAGUAAUAAUUAGAUGAUGUGUUGCUAGAGUGACAAAAGCUAGCUUAAACCCUUGUUUAUGCGUUAUUUUAUAAGGGGCUGAUUUUGAUCCACAUGUUCAUGCUAUGGUUAGAUUUAUCUUAAUUCUUCUUUCGUAGUUGCGGAUGCUUGCGACAGGGGGUAAUCAUAAGUGGGUUGUUUGUUCAAAUAAGAACAACACCUUAGCACCGGUCCACCCACAUAUCAAAUUAUCAAAGUCACGAACGCGAAUCAACUCAACAUGAUGAACAUGACUAGACAGAAAUUCCCAUGUUUCCUCGUGAGCGCUUGCUUCAUAUAAGAGUACUUUUAGACCUGUCCUUUUCUAUUAAAAUGAUUGGGAUAUCUUGUUGCACACUUGCUACUAUUUUUACUUGACACUUAUUACAAAUUAUCUUGCUACAAAACUAUCUAUUGUUGUUACUCACAACACUUGCAGAGAAUACCUUGGUGAAACUGCUUAUUUUUUCCUUCUGCUCCUCGUUGGGUUCAACACACUUAGUUACCGACAGGACUAUGAUUGAUCCCCUAUACUUGUGGGUCAUCAAGGCUCUUUUCUAGCACCGUUUUUGGGGUGUGAGGCGCCUUUGGUUAGAGGGAUUUGAUAAGGAAACAUGUUCGAUGCGAGCUGAAAUUUACUGUUGCUUGCUACUAUGGAUAGUAGCCAUUUGAAUGGUUCGUUUGAGGCAUCUUUGCCUCGAACGGAAGUGGAAAAAGGCACUUCUCAACCUACUGAAAAUAUUUAUUAUCAGAUUCCUUCGUUUAUGCUAGAGAAACUGCUAGCUAAUCCUUAUGCAUGACACGAUACAACUCAUCCUCAUUACCACUUGAUAUAUGUAGAUGAGAUUUUUGUAUUAUUUAAUCUUGCAAGUUUAUUCCAGGACAAAGUCAAUAAGAAGGUUUUCCCUUUAUCUUUGUAGGGAAAAGCAUUGAUGUUGUAUAAGAUAUUGGAUGAUAUUUGUAUUGACCAUUCUCAAAAUGAUUCAAGCCUGUGUGUAUCUACGCUAUCCCUGAAUUGGUAUGCUAGCACACACAGUACAUCAAUGUAUAUAUCAAAGUACAACCACAUGUAAUUAACGUUCAACUGAUAUAUACAUCAUGAGUCGCAACGAAAACAUUAAGGGUGUCGAGUCCCAUCAACGCCAAUGACAAGUUGAUGUGGGCCGUAACACUAAACUGUACUCUUACUCGUCGUAGAAGAAUCUCCUGCAAUAUGAUAUGUUGCAGCCGUAUAGGUCACUACAUUGAAUGUACCGGCAAGAUCGCAAUAAGAGAAAGCAGAUGAUACGACUAUUAUAUAUGCAAUAAUGAUUUGUCACUUUGUGUCUGUUUUGCAUAAAAGUUGAUUUAUUUUUGUUUUGGAAUAUCAGGAGUCUUCACUAUAGAGUUAUCUACCAUGACAUGGUUCCACCGACCGAUGUCUCAUAACCCACAAGUAUCAUAAGUUGCCCACAUUUAGUUAUCAAUCCGGUGUUGAGGGUUCGGAGAUGGAUCCAAGUCCAGAGACUCAAAUUGUCCGUAACCGGGGACAUGGCUAAUCGAUUAGGUUUUAACUCUACACACGUUUGCACACUUUACCGACAAGAUACGUUUCCCUCCUUGUAAGUCCUCGCACUGCGAGGUGUUUGAGGACAAGACAGAUGAAACAUGGUCUUUCAAAGAGUUUCCCUGACCCACAGCAGUGCCAAUCCAGUCCUAACGUCGACUACAUCUCGUACCACUGAUCCGGCCAAAGUCACCACAAAGAUCGACCAAGCCAGAACCCAUAUUGACUUUUCGUUUCACACGUAAGCAUCCAGGCAUGAAGUAUUCUUCCUUCUCUAUGAGUCCAUACCCAGCUCACUAGGCUAAUCCCACAUGGUAGAUCUCCGGGGAGACGUGGCUAUCCCACAUGGUAAACCUCCGGGGUGUCGUUUGAUCCAUUCCACCCAGUAGUGUGUAUUGAAAUAUUGUCUUGAGUCUUGAAGUCUUGAGGUCCUAAAGAUGGCAUCCCUGAAGAUGCCAUCAUGAAGUUGUCGUCAUUGAUGUAAGUCCUCCUUGUCACGCCACUCACGAUCACUCAUACCAAAACCCCGUCUACUAUAGAGUAAAAAUUAAAAUAAAUAACAUCUCGGGGCUUGAUAAUAGGGAGAUGGGUUCCUACCUCAUGCAUUAUACUCAACUACAAGAAGUCAAUACCACUAUGGGGGGUUGUUGUACUGUGACACUAAAUGCAAUAAAAUCAUAGGUAUGAAUAAAAUGGUCAAAGUGAACUUGCAUGGUAAAUUUAUGAAGAUAAUAAUGCUCUCAAAAAAUAACUUGGUAGAACUAUUCGUCACUCUCCGAUGAGAAUAUGUAUAGUCAAACAUUCCAUUCAUAUAAGCAAAUAAUUCUAGCAAUCAAUACAAUCAACUAAAAAGCAAAAAUAAUUACUAACAACUCUAGUAUUGAGAUGAAUGAAAUACUGAAGACAAAAGUUAAAACAACAAAACAUCAUCAAACAAACCAAGAAUAGUUUUCCUACAGUUAACCUAUUAUCAACAGCAACAAAGCAACAAAAUAAAACAAUAGUUAUUUCAGUGAAUACUUUACUAGCAAAAAGAAUUACAUUUGAAGAAGAAAAUAAAGAAAACUUUGAAUAGUAACACCCCAAAUAAUAUAAAUUUUUGUCCUAAUAAUACACAAGAGCAAAGAAAACACUAAAAAUAAAACUUUAACAAAAACACUAAAAUAUAAAACAACUAAAUAAACAGAACGUAUUUUUCAUAAAAUUUUGUUACCGAAAAGAAUUAAUUUCAAAGCUUUUAUCAAACUCUACUUAUGACCUAAACAAGGUUAACCUUGAAUUAAACAAAAAAAAUCAAAUUUAAUAGAAAUUAUUUCUGAUCCAAAAUAAAGUUAACAAAAUUAAAACUUAUACAACAAGUUAUUGAAAAUAUUUUCCAAAAGAAUUUAAUAAGCAUUGAUAUCAAUUUCAAGUUAUUUAUUAAACUAGAAUUGAUUCCAUGCAAAUCACGCUUAAAACAACAAACACUAAAAUAAAAAAUAAUUUUGUUGAGAAGCUUUUUAUACUUAAAAAAAAACUUAAAACAAUUGGUCACAAGCGGCAAAAGGAAUUAAUUUAAAAAUAUUUAAAACAAAUAAAUUAAAGGCUAAAGCAAGCAUAACUAAACAAUACUAUUUUUGGUAUAAAACCCUAAUUUAAACUAUUCUAAAAUUUAUAAAAUUAAACCUUCUUAUAAAUAAAGUCCCAAGGAACUAGUACAAAAGGGAGUCAACUCAAAACCUAUAUUUAAACAAAAGUUAUUCAUAAAAUAGUGAUUCAAACAAAUUUCAAUGAAUUCAAAUUUAAAGUACAUAAAUUUGAAAACUACUCGAACUAACAGAAAGUUUAUAAUAUUUGUGACCUAAUACAGAAAUAUUCAGUCAAACCUAUUUAAAACAUAAAAGAUAAAGCAAAAAACAAAAAGAGAAACUAUUAUGUUUUUAAAGUACAAACAAAAAAGAGAAAAAAACUAGCGAACACUAGGCCACGUGGCACGCUGUGAUAGGCCUACAGGUGUGCGCGUGUGGUGCAACACAGCGGACAACCCAGCUUUAAAAAGGAAACAUUUCGCAAUAAGUGAUCUAAUCUAGAGCGUUGAUCCAGAUCCAACGGUGGGGAAGAAGUCGUCGGCACUUACAGUGGGGAAAGAAGGUCCGGCAAGGGCUUGACGGCGGCGGGGCUUCACGCAACGAUGUGGGUGGCGUCUUUGGUGGUCGUCGACGGCGGUGGACAGAUCCAGUCAAUGGCGUCAAGGCUCUAACGCCGAUUGGUGGCGUGAUACGUCCAUUUUGCAUCAUGCUUUCAUGUUGAUAUUUAUCGCUUUUUGGGCUAUUAUUACACUUCACGAUACAAUACUCCUCUCAUCGGAGGGGACUCAUCACCAUCAACAUCUUCAUCAGCACCAUCUAAUCUCCAAACCCUAGUUCAUCUCUUGUAACCAAUCUCCGUCUCGUGACCCCGAUUGGUACUUGUAAGGUUGCUAAUAGUGUUAAUUACUCUUUGUAGUUGAUGCUAGUUGGAUUACUCGGUGGAAGAUUAUAUGUUCAGAUCCUUGAUGCUAUUCAAUACCUCUCUGGUCAUGAACAUAAUUAUGCUUUGUAAGUAGUUACUUUUGUUCCUGAGGACAUGGGAUAAGUCAUGCUAUAAGUAGUUAUGUGAAUUUGGUAUUCGUUUGAUAUUUUGAUGCGUUGUAUGUUGUUUCUCCUCUAGUGGUGUUAUGUGAAUGUCGACUACAUAACACUUCACCAUUAUUUGUGCCUAGAGGAAGGCAUUGGAAAGUAGUAAGUAGAUGAUGGGUUGCUAGAGUGACAGAAGCUUAAACCCUAGUUUAUGCGUUGCUUCGUAAGGGGCUGAUUUGGAUCCACUAGUUUAAUGCUAUGGUUAGACUUUGUCUUAAUUCUUAUUUCAUAGUUGCGGAUGCUUGUGAGAGGGGUUAAUCAUAAGUGGGAGGUUUGUCCAAGUAAGGGCAGCACCCAAGCACCGGUCCACCCACAUAUCAAACUAUCAAAGUAGCGAACGUGAAUCAUAUGAACAUGAUGAAAACUAGCUUGACAGAAAUUCCUAUGUGUCCUCAGGGAGCGCUUUACCUCCUAUAAGAGUUUGUCCAGGCUUGUCCCUUGCUACAAAAGGGAUUGGGUCACUUUUCUGCACCUUUGUUACUAUUGUUACUUGCUACUUGCUACGAAUCAUCUUAUCACACAACUAUCUGUUACCGAUAAUUUCAGUGCUUGCAGAGAAUACCUUGCUGAAAACCACUUGUCAGAUCCUUCUGCUCCUCGUUGGGUUCGACACUCUUACUUAUCGAAAGGACUACGAUAGAUCCCCUACACUUGUGGGUCAUCAUGGCAUCGGCGUCGGUAGGGGUGGUCGGAGACGAAUGGGGGUUGCUCUGCGAGGUCCGGCGGUGGCAAGAGCUCCGGAGAGGUAGUGUGACGGCGGCGGUGCGUGGGAGAGAGGUUCUAGGGGAACGGGGUGCGAAGAGAUCGGGCUUUAUGCCGGGGUUGCGGGUGAUAGAGCGGCAAGGGAGCGCGGGGAUCCAAUCGGAAUCAGCGAUCUCCGGCCAAGGCAAGAGCUCGGGCACAAUGAAGGAAGGGGAUGACCGCGUUUGGCUCGGGAUUGGGCAAGGCCCACGCGUCAGCGGGAGAGAGAGAGAACACGCAAUGGGAUCGACGGCCCAUUCGAUACAAAUUCGGAUCGGGUGGCGAAAUUUGGGCCCGAUCUGCUUCGCUAGGCCGCGCCACACGUUUCCUAAUAAACAAUGUUUUCCUUAAGAAACAUGUUUCCCCUUUUAUUUAAGAAUAGAAACAUAAAAGAUAAACAGGAAAAUGAAAAUAAUUCCAAAUAUAUAUAUAUAUAUAUAUAUAUAUAUAUAUGUGUGUGUGUGUGUGUGUGUGUGUGUGUGUGUGUGUGUGUGUGUGUGUGUUUUAUACUGAAUUGAUCAGAAAAAGAGAGUGGCCAGAGUAACAUUUUUCCACGGCCAAAAGAAAUAUUCUAAAAAUUGAUUUUUCUGAGAAUACCCAAAAUGGAUUUGAAAUCCUAUUCAAAUAUUUUCAAAAUACCCCUGGCUUUACUAGUCAAAUGCCUUUCAAAAAAUACCCUUGAAAUGGAGGGUCAUGUUUCUCCUCUCACUUUAUAAAUAUUCUCACAGGUUUUUUUGAAAUUUGAAAAUUCACAUAACUUCAAAUGGAAACCUUGGGUUUCAUAAAACUUCCAAAGGGAUUUCAAAAUCAUUUCUUUGAAACGUCCAACUCUCUUUCUUUUGAUUUGAAGAAGUCGUCUUAUCUCCUCUCUUGAAACUCCUUGAGUUGCAUAUAGUUUGUGUAAUUGAAAUGUUUCCAAAAUGGAAUUCAAAUCUUUUCAAAUCCCUUUUCAAAAAACUGGAAGAAGUCAUUUCGUCUUCUCUCUAGGUUUUGUAUUUGAAAUGGAUUCAAGUAUAGGAGGGCAAAUACAAAGUGAAAGUUUUGGGGAAGGUCAUGUUAUUCUCUCUCAUUCAAAGGUUUCAAAAAGUUUCAAAUUUCACUCAAUUUCAAUAAAUCACUCAAGCAAGCAAAAUAUAUAAUUGAUUAAUAUAACAUUUUAAAAUUUGGGAUGUCACAAACCUACCACACUUAAAAUGAAUCUCGUCCUUGAGAUUUGAAGAGGUUGGGAAGAAAAGGUUAGAGUUUUGGGGGGUCUUCUAGCAAAUCCGUUGGUCUUCACAAAAGGUCUCUAAUAUGUUCAUGGAAUAAAAAAUGUCUAUGGUUUUAUUUUAAAAAUAUGGGUUUAAAAAGUUUCACGAAAGUGUAAAUAAAAAGUAAAGAAAGUAAAAAUAACGAAUUGUGAAAAACAUUCAUCGAUUUUGAAAAAAGGUUAAUUUAUUUUGAAUAAAGUUCAUUGAACUGAAAAAAGGUUCACUAAUUUAGGAAAACAACAUUGAUUUUGGAAGAAGUUCAUCAAAUUUCGAACAAAAUCUCAUAAAUUUUUGAAAAAAGAUCAUCCAAAAUUGAAAAAGGUAUAUUGCUUUCUAAAAAUAUCCAUCAAAAAUUGAAAAAAGUUUACAAAAAUUAAAACAAAUGCUCUUUGAUUUGAAAAGGCUUGUUCAUUGGAAGCAAAUUUCAUCAAAAUAAAAAAGAAUGUGCAUUUUCGAAACAGGGAAAAGGGAAAAUAAAAGCGAGUAAAGAGAAGAAGAAGAAAAGAAAAAAAAGAAAAAAAGAAAAAACAGAAAAGAACCGAACAAAAACCAAUCAAUUAAAAACCUAAACAAAGAUCAAAACCGGAUAUAGCUCCCACCGGUUGGAACGUAGUUGGGCUGGGCCAUUUCCAAACGGACGUCAAAUAACGAAAUGCACAUUAACUAACGCUGAAGGCGCCGAAUAAAGGUACCCCAAAAGAGGGGGAGCUCGGAUGGAACCUCGGGUUGCUUACGCGCAAGCCUAGCCACUCGAAUAGCUAGGCUUUCUUGGUUACUAUGGCGCGCGAAGCUAAACUUAAUGUACAUCCGAACAUUUUAUCAAAUACCGAACACGAACAUUAAUUUUUUUUAAAGGUUUUUUUUUAAGAUUUUAGAAGUUUUGGAACAAAAAAUAAAAACCUCGAACAUUUUUUGAAUAUGUGAAAAAACAAUACAUAAACCGAACUCUUCUUUCAAAAUCACGAAAAAAAAUAAUAUGUGAACAAAUAAAAUUUAAAAUGGAUUUUUUUAAACUCUGAACAAAAAUUCGGAAACGUAAAUAUUUUUUAAAUCCUUGAAAAAAUUCUCAAAGAAGAACAAAUUUCAAAUUAGUGAACAAAUCUAUAAAACUGCGAAAACAUUUCGAACUGUGCACAAAUUUUGAAACCGUAAACAUUUCACAAAUUAUGAACAAAUUUCAAAUUUGUGAACAAAAUUAUAAAAUUGUCAACAUUUUUCGAAUUGUGAACAAAUUUGGACCAAUUAACAUUUUUAAAUUGUGAACAUAUAUUGAAACAUGAACUUAUUUAAAAUUAGGGAGCAACAUUAUAAAAUUGUGAACAAUUUUGAAUUGUGGACAAAUUUGAAACAAGAAAAAAUUUCAAAUACAUGAAGAAUCAUAUAAAAUUGUGAGCAUUUUUUGAAUUGUGAACAAAUUUUGAAACCACAAAUAUUAUUCAACUUCAAAUCAAAUUUUGAAACAAGAACGAAUUUCAAAUUAAUGAACAAAAUUAUAAAAUUGUGAAUAUUUUUCGACUUAUGAACAAAUUUGGAAAAUGUGAAUAUUUUUGAAAUUGUGAACACAUCUUGAAACAUGAACAAAUUCAAAUUUAAAACAUUUUUAAAAAGCAAGAAUAUUUUCUGCAGUUGAAGAACAAUCUUAAAACAUGAACUUAGUUAAAAAAUAACUAUAGAAAAAAAUAAAUAGACAAAGAAGAAACAGAAAAACAAAACAAAAGGAGAAAAAAACGUUCAGGAAACCUCCUAGGAGGUUCGCAAAACCGAUGGAAACUGAACUUGAGCUGGCCCCAGUUUUCUCGGAAGGAUGUGUAGAGGCCCGUCUAUUUGCCACAAAAUACGGCGAAUAGGGUAUUCCCAAAAACGGUGCUAUACUACCCAUCGCAACUGGAGGAGCCCGACACGGAUUGCCCUGCGUCAAGCACCUCCCUAAAUUGGGCGGCAAGCGCGCAGGAGGCCACAGGCCACUGCCUUGUUGUUUAUUUGUUUUUUGCAUGUAUAUUGUUUUCAUGUUUUGCCUCUUUAUUCUUCUUUAAAUUUAUAAAUAUUUGAUAAUAGAAAUUAGUUUACAUAAUAUAUUGUAAACCAAUUAACUAAACAUUUAAAACAUGUGAAAUGUGUAUAGUAAAAAAAAAUCAUGCAUUUAACAAACGUUAACUGUGUAUAGAAAGUUUGUUAUGCAUACAAAAACUAUAUUGAACGGAUACAAUGUGUAUGAGAAGAUGUUCAUCAUGUAUUUAACAAUAAUAAGCAUCUAUAAAAAUGAUUAUUGUUUAUGUGAAAUAUGUAUACUGUGUGUGAAAAUUGUUUAUAGCCACUAAGUAAAUGGUCGACGUGUAUUCAUAAAUGUUGGCUUGGUAUUCAAAAUAUAUUAAAUGUCUACAUAAAAAUGUAUUAUUCUUAUAUUCAAAAUGUACAGUGUCUAUGGGAAAAUGUACAUAAAAUAUAUUAUAUUUUGAAAAUGUUACUCCUGUAUUAUAAAAUAUUAAACAUAUAUGUAUAUAUAUAAUAUUUGUGUACAUAUAAGAUUAAUAUUAAAUUUGUUCCGAUAAAAAGUUGAUAUGUGUUGCACACAAAAGAAACAGAUGAAGAUUGGCAAGGAAAAAGAAAAAAAUGCAAUAAUAACCAAAACAAGAAAUAGAAACCAAAUAAAACCAGUGCAAAAGAACGAAACUAUAAAAGCCAAGAAAUAAUAAAAAACAGAUGAAACCAAGAAAGUAGAAAAACUAAAGAAAAUAGGAUAUAAAAGAAAACAAACAAACAAACAACGAAGGGGGGGGAAGGAAAGAAAACUGGAAUUGAACAAAGAAAUUGGUGGAAAAAACAAGAAACUUGUGAAGAUGAACCGAAAUAGAAAACAAACGGAAACGUAAAAGAAUGAACAGCGAAAAACAUACACAGUCACAACUAAGCAAGAGCGCUGUGAAACAAGUCGAAAAACAUACACAGUCAUAACUAAGCAAGAGCGCUGUGAAACGAGUCGGCCCAGUAUUGUACAUAAAAGAAAAGUGCCUCAACCGAGAUCGAAGUUGCUUUCGCUAGAAGCGAGAUAUAGCUCUUGUGACCCGAUACAGUCUUAGCCACUCUGUGCAUUCGGUUUAUUCGGUUUACCUGGAUUGGUUUCAUCUGUUUUCUGAUUUGCGGUAAAUAUCUUAUCAAGUUAAGAUACGGUUUGGUUUUGACAUCUUUACUAUUUAUAAAGUUGAAGUUGGUGGUGAGUUCACAUCUGGGACCAAUAACCUUUUUCAAUAAACAAAUCCAUCCCUACCCACAUUAAGAAUAGCAAUAUUUCAUGAACAUAAAUAAACAAAUGUAUUUCUGCUCACAUCUGGGAUCAAACACAAAUAAACAAUACACUACUAUUCAUGUGAGACUAACACUUGGGCACAAAUAACAAAUGCAGAAAUACGACUCCAACUCAAUAUAAUGCUCUUGUUUUUCUUUUUCUUUUUUCUCAGCCAAGUUAUUUCAGUUUUAUAUCACAGAACAAGAGAGUGAACAGAUAGUAAUUCGAAAAUGAUGAUAGACCUUAUCCUCCUACCUAAUCCACGACCUUGUGGAGUACCAUUGUCUAUUCUCAUAUGUUUUAACAUUCGAAAUGUUGUGUUUGUAAAGGAUCAUGGUCACUUAAGAUUCUACAAUGCCUCACGCGUGAUCUUUUGUGAUAUUUUUUAUCUUUUUAAUUGUGAAGCGUGAGCAAAUUCUGCAUGGCACCACACCAUAUUUUGACAAUUUACUAAGCCAGUUAUCUAACUCCUCGCAUUUUAUAGUUUCGUAGCAACGCACGGGCAUUCUGCUAGUAUACUAAAUUAUUUAUGUAUAGUUUCGAUAUAUAACAUAAAAACUAAAGUCAACGUGAAUUUGAUAAUAACAUAUAAUAGCUUGCAAGUUUAUGACUCAAAAAUCAAAAUAUAUGCAUUUUUAUACAAAGAGUACAUAGCUAUAUGCAAGUGUAUAUUCAUGCAUGGUUUUGGAUGGUUAUCGACGUACUUAGCAUUUUUUAAGAGAAAUAUGACUACAUUACAAGAUAAGUGAAUGUGCUUAACAGGAAAUUUCUCCUGUACAAAAAGGACUACUUAUAUGGUUGUUCGCCUUAAGAUAUAUAAAUAUAAUAUUUAUUUCCGUUUAUUUGGUUAACCAUUCUGUUUUUCAGUAUAUACCAUAAAAACCAAAGUCAAAAACGGUAUGAAUAGUUCAUAACAUACCGAAACCAUAAACCAUGAAAAUCAUUAAAUAGGUUUGGUUCGGUUAAUUUUUUGAUUCUGUUUUAAAAUGAAUAGCAUGAGUCCCAUGGUAACCUAUCGAUGGCGUCGUCGUCCUUAACCAUGGCACAUCCACCUCGCUAUGGCCGACGCUCCUGACCCUCUUCAUGGCUGGUGUCGCCUCCAGCUCUAGGAGAACAUCAAUGUGCCGAUCCCAUGCUCAACAGAGGAGGCAGGGCUGAGGUUUAAAAAAGGAGUAUGUCCUUCACUAUGUUCUUGUGGUGCUAUGUGACAAUGUCUGUCACGUGUCCUCCCUUCCCAUCCAGGCCUUCCUUAAAAGACCGACAUUGUGCACGCUAUUCAUGAACGGUAAGACCCACGUGUAGUCAUUCCGGGGCACGCACCAUGAAUAGUCACAUACCACCAAUGUCAUGCCCGUGCUAGUCCCCCUGUCUCUGCCAAUGACAGCAUGGGCACGACGCAGCCUUGACUUCCGACGCUUGGUUGGGGCAUGAGCUUGUGUACACGACGCGGGCUCACAACGAGUUGUCGACUCGUCGGUCUGGAUGCUCAUAGCGUGUCCAUUGAAAUGCCGCGUACAGAAAUAGAAAGUGAGGGUUGAAAGUAGAGAUUGCGGUUAUUUUACGAUUAAAAAAUGGCUCAAAGUGGCGUCCGCAAAUGUUUCCGGACAGAAAUUUGUCGAUCCUUACUGUAGAUGCUCUCGUACGCACUGCAUCGUCAUGCGCUACAAAACCCAUUUACCCCGACUAAGUUAUCGUUCUUGUGGCCCAAACGACACAGAUAACGGCGACAGGCGAGCGUCGUCUCUCCGACAGCAUCCACAGAUUGAGGACAAACUAAAUGAAACAUAAAAUUAAUGCAACAGAAUGAGCGGAAAAUGGGGAUGGGCGAUAGGUGUGGCGAUCUCGUCGUUCGCCAGAAAAAGCAGCCAAAACAUCAUCGUCCAUGGGAUCGCCAGGCCGGGAGGACGGUUCUGGCUGCUAGCAGACAGUGAUGACGAGGAUGAGGCAACCUCUACCGGAGGUAAGUCGGCACAAAUCGCAUCUCCGACACCUUCUGAUUCCAUCUGCGGGGCAUUCCAGGUGGGAUACUCGGAGGAGGAUGUCACCCGUGUUGUAGACGAACUGGUCCCGAUGGACGAUCUAGCAAGACUAGGGCUUCGAUCUGCGGACAAAAUAGAAGUCGCGAGGAGGGUAGUUCAUCGACGAAUAGCUGCAACAGCAGUCCUUGGCAUCGGCCUCUUCCUAAGGUGCGUUUGCCGAAACUGACUCUGUCUGAUUUCAUGUUAACCCCAUGGAAACUUGUCCGGAACAAGAAACACCAGCGACGAACGGCGAGGUCGACGUCGCAGGCGGCGGAUCCGGCUAGUCGGAUAGUUGAGAUACGUUCACAGUGUUUGAAUGAGCUUGUGGGCUUCUUGGGUCAUAUCAGAUCGAGCUAGCGGUGGGCUCCAACGAGGUUGGGUAUAUGGCCCAGCCAGGAGCCCAAGACGGUUGUGAUCGAGAGUGUCGUGAUCCGGCGAUAUGUUCGCCUAGUCCGCGCCUCUCUGUUGCGUUGGAGGCGUCAGCUAGGGUUCCGAGGCGUUCCAAUCGCCCUGGGUUUCCCGCUGUGUGCGCGGGCAGGGCGAGGAGGGUUCGGCCGCUCCUAUCGGCGAGCUCGGCCAUGGUUGGCCGCGGCAGCCAACCGAUGCCACCCAGGCAUCCGUCCAACGCUGGGUCUGCGGCGACCGGAGGAGCAGGACGUGCUGGGCAGAAAGAUGAUCUGCAGGCCGCUCAGGGCCGAGGUGAUGAUGGCGGCGGAGACCGGGGAGACUUUGGCGGCGACGUCGGAAGAGGUGACUAUGGUGGCGGUGGGAGAGGAUAUCAGAUGCACAUUGAUGGGAGCAACUUCACUCCUGGUCGCUGGGGAGAUGAUGGCUAUGGUGCAUACGGAAACGAAACUCAUCGCGGCUCCACCUCUACCGGCAGUGGCCGAGGGGAGGGAGGUGGCCGGGGUUUCGUUGCUCCCACCGGGCCAUAUGUUGAGGGGGCGUCGGGUCCUAGACAGCACUACCACCCUACUAUGGCACGCGGGGAGGAGGUAGAAAGCCGGCUGGGCGUCGUGACUCUCGCUCACAGGAUCCGACGCCUACCUUGGUGUAAGUGACGGAGGGUGUACAGUCGGCGCAUGCUGAUGGAGCCGCUGCUGAUCCUGCACCGCUUUCAGGGGAAGCAUUGGAAGUUGUACGAGCUCUAACCGGGUCUAUUGCUGCUGAGGCGAAGGUGGAUGAUGGUAAGGCUGGAGGUUCUGAUAAAGGGAGCGAAAAAUCUGAUAGUCAGAGAGUCACUAAGUGGGCUAAAAAGAAAGAAAAGCUGACAUGUUUCCGAUGUGGAGGACAGGGGCAUUUUAUAGCUGAGUGUUUUGUAGAGCUGUGUGACAUUUGUCGUAAGCCGAAACAUGAGCAGGGAGAGUGCCCUUUGCUCCUCGGGCCGAAGCCUGUGGUCACUAUCUACGGGGCUUGUUGCGCAGAACUUAUGUUCUUUGAGUCUACACGCUCAAUUUCGACCACGCCGUCUCCAGAGAGUUCGCGGACGGGUGUUGUGAGGGCGACACGUGGAUCGAUGACUUCGGAUCAGGUUGUGCAGCAUAUGCGGGAGCUGGUUUUUGCAAGGUUCCAGUGGAAUCCUAUCAAGUUAGAUGAUCAUCUUUUCAGGAUUGAUUUUCCUUCUAAGGAGGAUCUUGCGAGAUCGCUAAAAUUUGGAAUGAGCAAGGUCUCAAGCAAUAAUUGUGUUCUUGAGUUUGAGGCUUGGUCAUAGAAAGAGCCUGAAGGAACUCUGUUAUCAUAGUUGUGGGUCGGGUUUCUGGGUGCUCCGCGCACGUCGAUUGAUGAUUUCUUCGUGACUUGGAGCCUUGGAUCUCUUAUAGGCAAAACAUAAAAGGUGGAUAUGUCGUUUACUCGCGCUCAAGGGGAAGCAUGAUUACUGGUUAGUGUGAUUAGCAUUGAGCAUAUUCCAGAUACUGUGAAAAUGGACUUAUGAUGGGAAGGUUUUUGACCUGGACAUUGAGCUAGAGGAGACUGAUCAAUUCCAGGAGCUGGCCGAUAAUAUUGAUAUGGACACUGAGGAUGGCAACAACGGAGACGGGAAUCGAGAUGGGGGUUCGAAGGCUGGGGACGAUGCUGAUAGCGGCAAAACGCCCUUGGCCAAACCGGGAGUGUCUGGUUCUUCGACGGAACAAACACGCACAUCCACUCCGAUGAAUCAUUUGAGAUUUGGGUCGUUCGAAUCUUCUACGGCGCAUGGCAGACUUUGGGGUGCAAGGGUGGAGAUAGAUGAUCCAGUGGAGCACGAGCUGCCACCACUAUCACCACUUGCUUCCACGGGAGACUGAGAGAUUCCAGUGUCGCCAACUCGGACCUCCUUCAAGGAGUCGCCCACAAGUAUAAUGGUUGAGGAGGUGACGGCAGCGAAGCAACGACGAUCAAGAGUGAUCACUCCCACCCCUAAAGGGGACAUGCAUGCUUUGCAGACGGUUGGGGGUUGGCAGGUGGCCACACCCCAACGGCUUCGACGAUGUGUUUUUCUGCCAAGGGGGGCGCUACUGAGACUAACCCACUCUUGGGUCUGCUGGUGGGGCAUUCUUCAGGUGGUCACGACUACUCUUCCAGGCAAAUGACUGGUGAUCGUGUGUCCGUCGGCACUGGGCAGUCCAACCACGUUACACAGGAGUCCGGCGGCUUCCAUCUGCAGGAGCAUACCACCGAGGAGGUCAUCACCUUCGGAGGGAUUCCAGACCCGGCGACUGGAGAGAGGAGGACGAGUAGCCGUCUCCAGGCGCAGCCGGAUGUCGACGAUCUUCAGUUGGGCCGCUCCAUGCAGACGACCCAGCUCCAUGACUGUGAGACCACUACAAGUAUGUUCGUUGAUACAGAAUGUUCUAUCUUGCAUCUUUCCGAUGAUGAUAUUAUAUUACGGGCAAACUAAAUCGGCGUAUCUCUGGAUAACAAUGAAACAGAAAUAUCAAAGUUUGUUAAUGAUCUCUGAGAUUUAGAGGCUGAGCCAGCUAUGGACAUGCUUCGAAAUCUUGCAGCAGUUAAAUCCAUGAAUGAUUCUGAUAUUAAUGCGAGGCUUUAGACUCUCUUUGUGAGGAUCUUAGGACACCAUCUCUAUUGACUGAUGAGGGUAACGAUUAUGGUGUGGAGGAUUAUAUGGACCCUAUGCAACUUAAUGCAUCCGCACAGUCUGAGAGCGGUUAUAUGGACCGGAUGGCUGAACCGGAUAGGCACAAGCGCCCAUGGAAGCGCAAGGUCUAUCCUGAAUCUGUAGUGCGCAGAAGCGCGAGACUUAAGACUGCAAGAAAAAAUUGAUGAUAAAUGAGAGGAAUCUUUUGGAACAGCAGAGGUCUUGCGGACUUGGCUAAAAGAAGAUUUCUUACAGAAGCAACGUUAGAGCACAAGUUAGAUUUCGUUGCUUUAUUGGAAACCGGUAGAGACAAUUUUACGUCACAAUUUCUUAGCACUCUCUCUAGCCGUAUUGAAUUCGAUUGGCACUGUCUACCGCCCAGGGGAAGGUCGGGAGGGAUCUUACUUGGGGUACGUUGCGAGACUCUCGAGGUUCGGAAUGUAGUGUUCAGGGACUUCGCGGUAAAAUUUCGAGUGCGAUCGAAAGUGGAUGGGUUCGAGUGGGCACUUGUGGCUGUUUACGGGGCCGCCUAGCUAGAGUUAAAAAUGGAUUUCUUAGCCGACCUCGUCCGAAUCUAUGGGUAUGAGAGGUUACCGACUUUGGUUGGGGGAGACUUCAACAUAAUUAGGCGGAGGGAGGAAAAGAAUAAUGACAACUUCGAUGAAAGAUGGUCAUUUAUGUUUAACACUAUUAUCGAAAGCUUACACCUGUGAGAAAUUGAGAUUUCGGGUAGAAAGUUUACGUGGGCGAAUGCCUUGCCUACUCCAACUUUUGAGAAGUUAGACCGGAUUCUCACCAGUGUGGAUUGGGAAAAAAAAUUCCCUCUUGCAAUCGCUAGAGCUUUACCAAGAGCGAUCUCGGAUCACACACCUUUGCUUGUUGACUCUGGUGAUGCUACACAUGUGGGCAACAAGAAUACUUUCUCUUUCGAGAAGGCUUUGUGGACCUUAUAGCAAGAGAGUGGGCUAAGGCUGCUCGGGGCUCAUCGAAUGUUGAUCGAUGGCAGAGCAAAAUUAGGCACCUAAGACAGUUCUUAAGGGGAUCAGCCAAAUAGAGAGCGGGAGGUAUAAGAUUGAGAAAGAGAGACUCCUCAGUCUUAUUAAUGAGUUAGACUUAAAAGCCGAGUCAGCGUUGUUAGAUGACAAUGAGAGGUCAUCUAGAACACAAGAUGAAUUGAGUCUUAAACAACUUCUUCGAGAAGAAGAGUUGAAAUGGGCACUUAGAGCAAAAGUGUGUAACAUCGUAUAUGGGGAUGACAAUGCACAAUGCUUCCAUCUCAUUGCAAAUGGUAAACACCGAAAGAAAAGAAAUUUCCAACUAGAGCAAGACAAGGGUAAGAUUGUGGGCCACGAAAAUCUAAAGAUAUACAUCUCUGAGUUUUACAAACGUCUUUUUGGGGAGCCGGAUGACAAAUUUGUGUCAAUGGCCGAGCAGAUGGUGGGUGAUAUUCCUCGGCUCGGGGUGGACGAGAAUGAGAUAUUAACCGCACCGUUUACGGAGAAAGAGGUGUUUGAGGCAAUUUCGUAGAUGAAAAAUGAUAAGGCUCCAGGACCGGAUGGAUUCCUGGCUCAGUUUUAUAAGAGGUGUUGGCAUAUAGUGAAAGGGGACUUACUUCCAAUGUUUCAAGACUUAUUCAAUGGCCAACUCUAGCUUUUUCAACUUAACUUUGGGACAAUUUCAUUGUUGCCAAAGAAGGAGGAGGUGGUGCGGAUUGAACAGUUUCGACCAUUUGCCUUCUCAAUGUGAGUUUUAAGAUCUUUACUAAGGUCGGGACGAACAGAUUGUUGCGGAUUACGCAGGCGGUGGUGUAGCCUAGCCAGACUGCAUUCAUGCCGGAUAGAAACAUACUAGAGGGUGUGGUUGUCCUACAUGAAACACGGCAUGAGAUUCACUCGAAGAAGCUGGAUUGGGUGAUCUUCAAGGUGGAUUUUGAGAAGGCAUAUGACAAGGCUAAAUGGCCAUUCCUACAACAAGCCUUACGUGUGAAAGGAUUUGAUGAGGUGUGGAGGAAACACGUCGAAUCAUUCGUACAAAAAGGAAGUGUUGGAAUUAAAGUCAAUGAUGAUAUAUGGCAUUUCUUCCAAACACACAAAGGUCUUCGGCAGGGAGACUCAAUGUCACCCAUCCUAUUUAAUGUAGUUGCAGAUAUGUUGGCAAUACUUAUAGGGAAGGCUAAAGAGGAGGGCCGGAUAGGUGGAUUAGUACCUCAUCUAGUCGAUGGUGGUGUUUCCAACUUACAAUAUGCUGACGACACUAUUCUGUUCAUAGAACAUGAUAUUGCAAAAGCCAGAAACAUGAAACUCAUAUUGUGCUUAUUCGAACAGUUGUCGGGUCUGAAAAUUAAUUUUCACAAGAGUGAAGUGUUUUGCUUUGGGAGAGCCAAAGACGAACAAGGUUCAUAUAAACAACUGUUUAGAUGUGAAUCGGGAAGCCUACCGUUCAGAUAUUUAGGAAUUCCAAUUCACCACCAUAAGUUAUCAAACAAAGAAUGGAAAAGUGUUGAGGAUCGUUUUGAGAAAAAAAAAUAGUUGUUGGAAGGGUAAGCUAUUAUCAUACGGAGGAAGAUUGAUUCUCAUUAACUCGGUUCUCACGAGCAUGCCGAUGUUCCUUCUGUCCUUCUUUCUGGUACCGGUCGGGGUACGGAAAAGAUUGGACUUUUAUAGAUCACGCUUUUUCUGGCAGAGUGAUGAAGUUAAGCAAAAGUACCGGCUUACUAGGUGAGAUAUUAUUUGUAGACCUAAAGACCGGGAAGGUUUGGGGAUUCAAAAUUUAGAGAUAAAGAAUAGAUGUCUGCUAAGAAAAUGAUUGUUAAGACUUUCUCUGGAGGGGGAGGGUAUGUGGGUGCAAAUUUUGCAUAAUAAGUACUUACAAACUAAAACUCUACCUCAGGUUACCGUGAAACCCAAUGAUUCACCUUUUUGGAAAGGCUUAAUGACAGUGAAAGCAGCCUUCUUUCAAAAAGCAAAAUUUAUUGUAAGUGAUGGUAAGUCAAGGAGAUUCUGGGAGGAUACAUGGCUGGAGGAUACGCCCAGGACAGGCUUUGGCCCUAGGCGGACAUGGGCGGCGCCCAAGGGGCCAUGUUUUGCAGGGCCCAUCAUUAUAUAUGUAUACGUGCUUCUAUAUGUGUUGGAUUGUACCUCGGCCUUCUAUACGUCCUUGAGCCUAGUUGCGUCGCUUUGGGGUACGUACGCCUUGGCCUCCUGCCUAUUUCCUUGGCGCACGCAUACCUGGGCGUAACUUAUAUUCCCUCCGUCCCGAAAUAAGUGUCGUUGAUCUAGUAUAAAAUUUGUACUAACCUAGUACAAAUUUUGCGACACUUAUUUUGGGACGAAGGGAGUACCUGUUUGGCUGUUUCUUUCGACGCCUCGCCGCCUCGGCCUCCUGGCUUCGCCCCUUCUCCCGUUCGCCGCCCUUUGCGGCUUCUGUUUGGCAGUGGAGAUCAGCCAUGGUCUGCAGCUACAGUGGAGAUCGGCAGCUGUAGUGGAGAUCGGAAACUGCUUUAUUCAUGAAGAUUGCAGAGGAGCUAUUUGGAGAUCAGCAGAUUUUUUGUGAAGCACUGAAGUAUUGUUGUUCAUGAACUCAUAUGAACUUCGUUCUUAUUUGAGGUAAUUAAACUAGCAGCGAAUAUUAUUUUUAAAAUUUUGUUACUCUUUUAUUUAUUGUCAUCGUUAAAUUACAAUGUAUGGUCGAAUGUAAACUUUAAUAUUUUGCGUUUAUAUAUCUAUAAAUGCGUAUAUAUAUUAUCUAUAGGGGUCCAUUUUUUAACUUUGUCCAAGGGCCCCGAAUAAUAUAGAGCCGGCCAUGGAUAUGCCUCUAGCCAUACAAUAUCCAUCUCUUUAUAAUAUUGUUCAACGUAAGGAGGCAUACGUUGUCACAAUAUUACAGUCUAAUCCUUUAAAUAUUCAGUUUCGAAGAUCUUUAAUAGGUAAUAGAUGGGAGGCAUGGUUGCAUUUAGACAUUUCUAUUGUUUGGGACGUGGCUAAAUGGGGUAGACAUUUCUAUUGUCAGACAUAUUCGUAUAGGAGUAUGUGCAUUAAUUUGGGCUAUAUGGAAUUGCAUGAAUGAUGUGACUUUUGACAGAUUAUCAAAUGUCAAUUUCUUGCAGGUACUUCACACGGCAUUGGCGCUGAUCCGUAUAUGGUCGUUACUCACACCUGCGGAAACCAGGGAGCAUUUGGUUACUGGGUCUAUCCGAUGGGAGAUGGUAGCACUGGGUAUCUACAACCGGUUUGGAUGGUGGUCCAGUAAUAGGAUAGAUGGUUAGGUGUCUAUGUCUAUUUUUUAGUCGGUUGUGGCAUUUUUAUUAUCCCUUUGUGUAUUUCUUUAUUAUUUUUGGAGCUUGUUCGAAACUUCUCGAUGCUUUUUAAUUACUUAAAUGAAAUGACUGAAUGCAUCGUUUUGAUGCAGCGGUCGGAGGAAACCUUUUUUCUAUAUAAAAAAAACAGUUCUACCCAACCGCAUCCCACGGCCCUGUAGAUGGAACAAGCAAACAAAGCCCGUGGCGUCAAGAACGAGGGCGUACAGGCGCCCGCCGGACGCGUGUCGAGCCCCGACUGGCCGCCGGGUCGCCGCCACCGGGGCCCGCCGCCGGCGGUCCCCGGUCCGCCUCGCAUGGUCCGCCCUCCGCCCCUCGUCGCUGUCCGGAGAGAGGGAGGGAGAAAAAGAUGAACAUCACGUCUCGCAGUCGCAUCCAUCCAUCCACGCUUGACCUUCCGCUGCUGCUGCUACUUUGAACCCUCUCCACAAUCGGCCACAAGUGGAUAAUGGGCGAGGGAUCCGCGCCAACUUGUUCCGGAAAAGAAACAGCGACGGCGAGCCACGAUCGCGCACGCGCGCCAUCCGUCCCCGUUUUUCCUCACCUUUCUCCGCACGAAACCGCCGUCGCCGUCGCCGUCGACAAAUCAUGCGUGCUCUUAUCGCCGGUCAGAUGAUUUUUUUAUCGCCCCGGCCGUGCCGUGCCGUGCCGUGGAAUGGAAUGGAAUGGAAUUAGCCCCGUUUUCUUGUGCGGCGAUCGAAUUAGCUGGCCACCUGUAGAAAUUUUGUUUGCGAGUAGUUCCGGUCAGUCAGUGUGAAGAUCGGGCCAGGGAGAAGGAGCGAUUACUAGUAGCCAAAUUUCCAGCCCUGGUUUAAUAUGUGUGCAACAGCGACGUGCGUGGUCCACGGCGCUCCACGGAGGCCGGCGUCAGCACGAUGCGGCUUUGCUUUCGUUGAUUUGAUUAGAAUUAUGGGCCGGCUCAACAUCAUCUUCCUUGCUAAUACUACAGAUAGGAGUAGGAACUUUCUUUCGCGCAUACAUAAAUAGGUGUUGUUGACAAGUACCAACACCCCACAUGGUAUGAUUUGAUUUCCCCUCCCAUAAACUAGGAGCAUCGCUCACCUGGUUUGUGACCGAACGAUGUCAUUGGACAGGACGCGUACACUCAACUUCAAUUCAAGAUAUACAAUGACAAUAUACACACCUUUGAGGCCAUUUUCCGCACCCAUCCCCCUCUCUCUAACCAAUACCCGAAAUCCACCCGCCUCCGUAGACGCGCCUCCACAAGGCUAUCCAUCCGCUUUCACUGCAUCUCCUGUCGUCGACGAGUUGCAUGGCAGGCCAGAGUCGACGCUGCGCUCGCCCCCAUAAGGUUGCACGUAGUUGCUUUACCCUUCCUCCUCCUCCCUCCUAAUUGUCACGGAUUCAUCGAAGAUGCGUCGGGAUAUGGAGCACGUGGUGCGACAGAGAUUCCCUAACGAGUCGGAGUAGUCGGAGCUCGUCGACGUCAUUCGUCUCUCCAUUGGCGGAGCCACGCUAGUAGUAGCUGGAAAUACCCAUAUCAAUAGCGCUGGUGGCAGUGCUACUGAUAAGGCGCUACAACUAAGUUUUAACAGUAGCGCUCUUCAACCAGCGCAACUGGUAAGUAUAGUUAGCAAUAGCGCUGCACGGAACAGCGCUGCUACUAACUAUCUGUAGUGUUGCCCAUAACAAGCGUUGCUGAUAAUCCAGCGCUCCUGCCAGCACUAGUAGAAAACACACCUUUCGUCCGUACCUUUAGUCCCGGUUUGAUUUCGGCCCGGGACUAAUAUGACCAUUAGUCCCGGUUCCAACGGCUAGGAGCGGUCGGUGGCACGGGCACCUUUAGUCCCGGUUCAUCUUGUACCUAUAGUCUCGGUUUGUGAGACAAACCGAGACUAAAGGUGUGGUGGGCUGGUGGCACGCGAGCGUCAGGCUGGGCCCCCCAUGAGCCCAUUUAGUCCCGGUUUGUAUAACUAACCGGUUUGUAUCACAAACCGGGACUAGAUGGAUCCAUUUAGUCCCGUUUGGUUAUACAAACCGGGACUAGAGGGAUUCAUUUAGUCCCGUUUGGUUAUACAAACCGGGACUAAAGAUCUUUCUAUAUAAGCCCUUCGUCCAGACCGAGCCCAUUUAUCUGUUUUCUCAAUUCCUCUCUAUGUUCUUCCCCUUAGCUCGAGCUCAUCCUCCAUUUUUUUGCCAAGAUUUGUCAAGAUUUGGGACACCCCAUCUCUCCAAGUGUUCACAAUGGUUAGCAACUUUGUCCUUUCAUCUCUCAUUGGUAUAUUAGCUCAUGCAAUGCUCUAUAAGUAUAGUGAUUUGUGGGUUUUGGUUUGGGGAGUAAUUUUAUAGGAGUUUAUCUGAUUUAUGUGCAAUCUGAGCUAAAAUUAACUUCUUAGUGCCUUCCUGUCCCCGUCCUAACCACCAUUGAUCGUUCGUACCGUCCCAUCGCCGGCACCACCUUGGAGAUGGGUUCAUCGUGUGGGAUAAUUGCGCUCGCAUACCCACCUCCGGGAGCGUUGCUGCGUGGGGUUCGCCCUCCACGCCAUCACUAAGCUCGCCUCGUCCAAAUAGGUGGACAACACAGGCCCCUACCUCAGUUUCAUCUACUCAUCAGGCGGGACCAAGGAUUCACUGCUUCAACGUUGAACCGCCCCUAGCCUAGGGACCGAGGUGAGCUCCCAAUCCGUCUAUCCUGAUUGCGUAGAGAUCGAAUAGAUGCAUUUCGUAAUUGCGAUUUCCUCACUUCACCAAUCGACCGCUAUCCAACAUGCAUCUAUGUUAUUAAGUUCAUAACAAACAAAGUAAUUCUUGGAGCAUGAUGACAUAAUGUAGACAAAAUAAGAUCAAUUAAUAUGUUCAAACCCCGUCAUUUUAUCCUUAGUAGCAACAAUACAAAUAUGUGUCUCGCUACUAAUGGUGUCACAGAGUGAGGGCACCGCAAUAUUGGACCUACUACUAUGCAUCACUUCCUAUGAAGAUAUACUCAUCAACUUGCCAAAGAAAACUCAUAGAUCGGAAGGCAUAUAUAGCUACAUGAAAUCACACAUAAUAAAUCUAUGAAUAGACCCAAUUACUUUCAAUGAAUAAUCCAAUCAUAAACUCACAAUUCAUCGGAUCCCAACAAACACACCGCAAAGAUUACAUCGAAUAGGUCUUCAAAGAGAUAAUUGUAUUGUAGAGAGAGAGGGGGGGAGGGAGAAAGGGAGGGAGUAAGAGAGAGAGGGACAGGGCAGAGGAGGGAGGCAGAGGGAGAGAGAGGGGGGAAAGGGAGGGAGAGAGAGAGAGAUGUUGGAAAUUUUCCCUAGAGGCUCUAUGAUAAACCAAUUGAAGAUAUUGUGCUUUGAUGCUCAAGUUGUGUUGCUACUCUGAUGUUUAAGGGAGGGAGAGGGGGGGACAGAGAGAGUUUUUGUCCAACGUGGUACUUUGCAAAGCAAGUACCACCUAGGCUCCUCCAUUUGAGCUGCAAUUUUGUCAAGACAGUCUCCUUAGUAGAUGAUCAUCAUCAACCAAAACUUAGGCCCAUUGGCCAUGUGCAUUUCCCCCAUCACUAAUAAAACAACUGGCUGCUAAUUCAUGUUUGAGCUUAGUUCAAUCUCCUCGUGAGAUUCUUCUGUUGUCAUUUUCUUCCUAACAUCUAUCGGUGGAGUGCCUAACCCACCAUACAUGCCUAGGACGCCCAGAAUGCGUGGCAAUACCACACUCACGCGAUUGGCAUGCUAAUUUACGCGCUCUAGAGUUGGGGCCCUCGGCCACUGUCUACGCGUUUGUGGGAGUUCUUGAGAGAAACUCUACCAGGUUUACUCGCUCUCGCUCUUUUGACCAAAGAAAAUCAUGAUUCGAGCAAGUCUUGAGCAUUUCCCCAUGAACUUAUUACUCUUAGAGGUUGAAAUCUUUUAGGCUGUAGGAGUUCUUCGAAGAGGAAACAUUCGGUGUGAUUAUCCGUGAAAAUUUUGUGAAGGUUUGAAGAUCACUUCAAGGCCUAUCACUAAUGGUUGAGAAUCGCCUCAUGGUGACAUGUCAAGGGAAGAAUAGGGUGAGACUUCGUGACGUUGGUGUGUCUUCAUGGUAGCAUCCACCCCUCUAAGGGUGACCGGCUUCCCUCCAAGAAAGUGAACAUCAUGAAUUCAUGAUACAUCUUUGUCCGUGGAGUUUUGGUUAUCCCUAAAUCUAACUCUCUACUUGUGGUUGUUUGUCUUUUGUCUUUCGCCUUUACUCAUAUCAUAUUGUGGUUGCUUGCAUCAUCUUGCAAUUGUUAGGAUCACAUUCAUAUUUCACAUAAUUUUCUAAGUUGCUAAAUAAUAAUUAAAUUUAUAACUUUACCUAUUCAUUUUUCUAGGUCCAUCUCGAUCUUUUGACUGACAAGGUGUCGUUGGAAAGAGAAGAAUUCUACAAAAGAAAACUCUUGUGCGUUGAUUUCAGCAGUCUUAAAAUAAUGUGUCGGUUCAGUCUAUCGAAGAUGCUCUUAUUAAAAAUCUGUCGGACCGGUUAAAACCGCAAUCUGGUAAAAAAAUCGAAAUUUACAUGUAAUGACAGAGAGAGAAGGAAGGCAAAAAAGAAAAGAAAAAAAGGUUGCGCUCGUAAAAAGGUUGGUUGUAGGAGCAGCAGCAGUGUGCAGUUCCCUGUCGCGACUGUCGUACGAAUAUCACGUGGAAACGCGGAUACAUAUGGCUGUGGUUCCUCCUCCUCCACCCCGCGGUCCCCUCUGCCGCUGCACCGCUCCGCCCCGCCCGCCUGCUACUGCUACUGCUACCUGCACCCGCACCCACACCCAUCCCUCCUCCUCCACUUGACCCGGUGCCGGUGGUACCACCUCCUCCCAAGGCAGCAGCGGAUACAUACGAAGCGGGAGCUAUAGCCCGCGCGCGCAGGCCUGUUCGGCCAUGGCGUACCAGUACCACCACCACCAGGACCACGCGCUGGGGAUGGACGCGGCGGCGGCGGCGGCGGCGGGGGGGAACCCUGGCGGCGGCGGCUUCGCGCCGGGCUUAAGCGCGGGCGGCGCGUGGGAGGGGGAGAAGGCGGCCGUCGAGGCGCACCCGCUGUACGAGCGGCUGCUGGNNNNN
Molecule: long non-coding RNA, 67690 nt
Filed under: Hordeum vulgare
Lineage: Eukaryota; Viridiplantae; Streptophyta; Magnoliopsida; Poales; Poaceae
Description: long non-coding RNA (HVUL_LNC020593)
Source: RNAcentral